CAGUUGGUGCAUGUAUAGUGAGUUGUACACGGGGCCCAUACUACUUGACUUCCUGUGUCCACCAGGAAGGGGAGUUUUUGUGGAGGAGUGCCGAAGCUGAGAGGGAUGCUGUGACCUCCAUAACUAUGAGGAAAAAGAGAAAUUUGUGUGAGAGGGCUGGCCUUCCCAUGUUUCAAUUGAUGGGCUCUGGACAAGGAUGAAAUGCAAGGUGUUGGAGAAAUAGCAAGGGUUCGAUAGAUGGCUUGUUUGUAAAUGUUGAUGUUAGAGGGAUGGUAAUGGUGGCAGGUGUGUUAUCUUUGGAGGAAGAUGCCAAGAAAAGGAAAGAGAAGAAAGUAAAGACAGAGAAAAGCAAAGAAGUAGAAGAAGCCAUGGCUGUGUAGUUUCAGACGCACACACCAUGGGAAGUGGUAGAGAGAGUAUUUAUAUAGACAAUGACAUGCAUGGUUUAUAUGUAGUUAUUCUAAAAUCCAUUGUCAAUUUUCUUCAUUUUGCAGUAUGAUAUGGAUUUGAUUGAGCAAAGAUUUUAUUGCCUCUUCCUGACGAAGACAGCCACGACAGCCGCGGUUACCUACAAAAGCAUUCCAGCUGGCGUGAAUUGCAAUUAUCAACAGAAUAUUUGUCUUUUUCCUUUUAUUAGGUUUCUUUCUUCAAUCUUUUUAAACACCAUGUCUUUUGUGUGUGGUGGGGAGGGGUCACAGCUUCAAAUAAUGUAGUUUACUGUUCCUUUUGUGGCUGGAUAUGUUUUCUUUGUGAGGAGACUGGUUGGUACGUCAACUCCCCUUUAACCUAAUGGAAAAAUAAAAAAUAAAAAAUCAAAGAGUUAGAUUUCAACAGAACAUUUACAAAAAAGUAAAAUAAAACAUCAAUAUUGAGAAAGUGAUAAAUUUGUAAUAGAUAAUUUACAUCUAAAAAUUGUUAUUAAUUAAUUGAGAAUUAGGAAUAAUUUUUUUUCCACUUUGAUGUGAAGUACACCCUAAACCAUAUAAGAAUGGACAAAUUAUUUGAUAAAAGUUAAAAUAAUUAUAAAGAUCGAUAAAAUCAAAGAAAAAUAAGUUUUUAUCUACUUCACAAAUAAUAUAAAUGCACCGUCGAUGUUAUUAAAUUUAUUAAAAAUUUAAAAAUAAAUCUCAUACUAAAAACAUAACUAAUCCUUCAGAACUUAAAGAUUUCCUACCCUUCUUAAUAGUUUUAUUGCUUUUGAAUUUUAAUAUUAUAUAAUGAAUAUUGGAAAAUUGAAUAACAAGUUGUAAAUUUAUUUUAUUUUUUUAAUUUCUUUAAGCAAAUAUUUUUUUAAGACUUAUAAUCUCUGUUUAUUUCUCAGUUUUAUUAAUUUAUGUUGCAUUUUUUUGAAAAAAAAAAAAUCUAUAUUUUCAUAAUUAUAGCACCGACAAAGAAUAUCAAAUAAAUUUGUACCUACCUAAGUGUUUUUAUAAUUUGCUUCCAAAAGUAGUAAUCAUACUUUACAUUUGACAUUGAUAGUUUCAAUCACAUAAUCUAGUUUUAGUUGUUUAAUCUAAAAAUGUUUUCCAACAUUUGGGUCAUUGAAUCAAAAAAUAUAUGGCAUGGGCACUACCAAUAUGAUAUAGACCACCACCAAUGUUUUAUUACAUAGGAUACCACUGGGACCACAUGUGUUCACCUCCACCAAAAUUGGUUUAUUAUCUAAGACUAUAAAGAAGUGGAGGAAGAGAAUAUUCUGAUUUGGUCACCUCAUAAAAAGUUGAUUGAAGUAGAAAAUCUGAAGAAAAUUUGAAGGCAGUCCACAUUUUUUCGGCACCAAGUAUUCAUUUUGUGGAUAAAAGAAAUUAACAAAUUUUAAAUUUAGAAAAAAUAACAGGCCUAUACCUACCUCUUAGUAGUGCCUUAAAUUUAAACUAUAAUUUAAAUAUUUUCUAUUAAUUUUAUUGUUGAAAAUGUAAAUAGACCAAAAAUUCUAGCUUUGUGAUUAUGUUAAAUUACCAAUUUUCCUAAUAAAUAUGUAAACUAUAAAGAGAUGGUCAAAAGACUUCCAACCCAUACCCAUAAGUAGAGAAAUAAAUAUAUAAAUUAUAGAUAGGAGGCUUGAAUACAACUUAAUAGCAUAUUGAAUUAUCAAUUUUCCUAAAAUAUUAAUCAUUUAGGAUUUGAGUUUAUAAUAUAUACCAUGCUUUUAACUUUUAUAAACUUGUGUGUGAUCAUAGAAUGAAAUAUCUACAUGUGAGUGACUUUUAUUUUUUUUUAACCAAAAUAUUGCUUAUCAAUUUAUUACAUUAUAAUUACUCUUUUGGUUCCAAAGAAGUCUCCUUGGUUGUGAUAAUCUUAAUAUCUAACUCCAUUUUUCCCUAAUUAAAGUACACAUCAAACUUGUGAGGGAAGAGUGCAGUCUCUAUGAGAGGGCUGCUCUUGCGGCCGUAUUUGAAGUGAUGAACUCUGGUUAAUGGCCUAAAGGCGAGGUUAUGGUUCAGUUCUGAAGAUGGUUCGUGGGUGAAUAAUGGUGUCAGAGGGAUACUAAUGGUGGAGGGGCCGGUUUCUCUUCUUUGGAUGAAGAUGAUAAGCAAAGGAGAGAGAAGAGAGUAAAAAACAUGACAAAGCCAAGAAGAAGAAGCAAUAGCUCUGACCUUUUGUUGCCUGAUAAUUAAAGUCCCACUAACAAAAGCUAGCACAAGGGAAUCACCAUCCCCACUUUCUGUGGACGCAGUACUACCUCACGAAUCACAAUAUGAUAUCCACCUUCCCACAUUUUUUUGUAUCAAUAUUGACGUCAGCUUCAUGUCAUGUUGAAGAUGCAACAAAGUUUAUAUAUGGUUAUAGCUGCUAAGCAUGCUUGGCAAGCUUUAGCCCUAUUUGCCAAUGAGCCUUCAGACAGAGAGAUGGGCGCACGUCAAAAUAGGCUACAGAUUUUCAAUUCUUUUAGCCAUGCAUUUCAGAACCGUGCAGAUUGCGGUAGACAACAUUAGCCAUCAGUUUCCCAUAUAAAUGGAUGUCAUCCUCACAUCAAUUCUUCUUGUUCUUUGUGAUUCCCACUAUUAGAACAACAUGGCAUGAGUAUUCCUACAACUGAUCAAUAUGAAUGGACAAUGGAAUUUUGAAUAAUGAUAAGAGAUGUUCAGGUGCGGUCCCAACUAGACUAGUAAUGCUUGUAUGAGUGUAAACCAUUUGGGUCUCGACGUCUACUCACUACCUCACGUGGAUCACGAUUGUUGAAAUGCAUAUUUUUUGUGAGCUUCAUGUUUGGGGUUAGCCCUUUUAGUUAUUUUUUAAUUGAAGUCAUUUUAAAAAUAAUAUUAAGAUAAAUUCUAAAAGUGUAAAGUUGUUUCUUUAAUAUAGAUCACAUUAAACUCUAAUAUUUUAAAAAAAUAUGUUGUAUAUUUCUAGCACUACACGUCACGACAUAAUUUGCAACCCCCGGGACCCAGCAUUGGAUAUAUGGGGAAAGAACAACAUUACAUUGACCCCACAUCUCACUUCCAGUGGCUCACAAGCCGCCACCUAUCUUCCUUUCGAUGUGGAUCUCCUUCUGCCCUACAAAGAAUAUUGGAAUUUGAAAAGCACCCAAAGUCAUUUAAAAAAAUAUUUCUAAAUCUACAAUAUUUUGAGUUAAUCUAAUUGAAAGUUGUUUUUUAGAAAAACAAUUUUAGUAAAAUUUUAAAGUUAAUUUUUGAAAAAAUAAUUUUCUUAUUGACACUGAAAUUAUCUUUUUGAAAAGGUAACUAAAAUAUCCUAAAUCUGAAAAUAAUUUUUAAAUGUCAUACUUUAAUAAAUAUUUUUUUAGAGAAAAAUAAUAUUUUUGUUAAACAAUAUAUACAAUAAGCUACCUCAUGUGUCAGAAAUGAUCCCUAAAACAAAUGCCACAUGCUGCUCGGGAUGAGCGGAGGAAACAUGGCAUCGCGGAGGAUCACAGCUCCCCGCUCCUUAUGUUGCGGACAAAGCCAAAGCGAUUGAUUAUAGAGGCAACGUAGUGGUUUAGUAGAGGAGCGACCACUACCAAAAGUAGAAAUGUGAAUAUCUGAUGCAACGCCUCCCUCUUAUCCCUCUAGUGCUGCCCUUCUCACAUCAAGUAUUUUCGUUCCUGGGCCAUCCAUUUUCCAUAUCGGAAUAAUAACCUGUUGUAGACCCCCAUUUGGGGCUCAUUCCUUUGCAUCUCUGCAGGGUAUGAUUCUUUGCAGGUGGAGGGCUCCCAAGGAGCCACGUGUCGCCUCGCGGUUGGUGGCCAUAGAAACAGAUGGUGGAAUUGAGGAGCGAGUGAGAGUUUGACAUGUGGCAUGGAGAUAUUCUGGCCGUUAGUGAGGAGCGUAUAUUUUCUGUUAGAGGGGAUUUUUGCAGAGGGGGGUCGGCUGGCCAGAGGUAGGGUGCUUUUCAGAAGCUGCUGCAGGGUAGUGGUGGUCGGGGAGCGUCUCCUGGAGGUUUAGAGGCUGUAGAGAACUAGGGUCUCCGGGGGGGGCUGGUAAAAGAGGAGAGAAGAACAGAGGUGUAAAAGAGGGAAAAGCUAAGAAAAACAGAGGAAAAGCCAGGGAGGAACAGAGAGAGAUUUUUGGGAGAGGAAGGAUUCGAGAGUGUGUUUUUCCAGGAGAGUGAGAAGGAGAGGUGAUGUUUGGGCGCUGCUGGAUUUUACAGAGGUAUCUUUAGAGAGGAUUCCUUGGCUUAAAAGGGGUUUUCCUUGCAGGAGACAAAGGAUGAAUGCGAUUUUGAGCAAAUUUCGGCAUUGGCGACAUGAAUGGGCUUAUAUAGCUGUCAAUAUUCAAGAGUUCUUGACGUUGGUGGGGUUUUUGAGGUCAAGCUACAGAUCUGAUUUGAAUGAUAAACGCAAAUGAGAGUUUGUUCCAUUGAGACUUGGUAUCCAUGCUGUCUAAACAUUGAAUCAGAAAUGGGCAGAGAGAUUAUUUUGAAAGAAAUAGAUUAAGGAGAAGGAUUCUAGUGAGGGUCCCCAUACCAUGUCUUGAUACCGGUUCAUGCAUAUCAUUAUUUAUCAUACCAGUGGCAAAUGUCAAUAUCCCAGAGGAAGAAGAGAGUACACUGAUUGAAGAAAUGUUGGUUCUUAAGGGAAUGAAAGACCCACUCUCGCUCUUGUAUUCUUUUGGCUAGACGAAUCCACUAGUAAACUGGUGGAUGAUGAAGACAGAUUGAUGGUUGAGAACCAUACCUCCAGUGUGGGCGCAUGCGAAUCUUGCCCGCUGCUGUUAGUGCGUUCCAGAUCCGGAAAGUCUUCAUAAAGGCCCCGCAUGGAUUUUAUGAGUUUAUGGAUGUACCCUUGCAGCUACAGCAUGUGCUUGCCCUACAUCUAGAGGAGCAUCCAGGGUCGAUUUCAGAUGGAUCCUUAGAGCACAAUCUAGAAGUAACUAUCGCAAAGGAUACAUGCACACAUCCUGGCGCUUUUAGAGAAUUGCAUAUACGUUGUGGGCAGCCAAAUGGUGCAAGGGCCCCAUCCUCUCAAGUGGUCAAAAACUGAAGAUGCCACGUAUUCCCGGAUCAUCAGAAGCUCCUAAGACGAACUGAAUGAUCUAGAGGAGGCUAUUCAACCUGAUUUAACUGGAAAUAAAUCAUCAAAGGAAUCAACUCGAGAUGGUCAUGCGUAGAAUGCAAAGAAUAGACAGAUCAGAUCCUCAAGGCGACCGUGGUCAUUCGUGGUGGCGUUCUGGCACAGAAUAGGAAUACCAGAUUGCAUUAUUUUGGGAGAUAGUAAAUGGUACAAAGGCUGUUCAUCCCAUCUGGAGGCGAAAGUAUUAAAAAAGGCAUGCAAAUUAUUCAAUGGCUGAGAAAGCGGCAGGUUCAAUAGCAGAGGAUAUGAUCGUCACCUACAUAAGGAAGUCAAAUGGGCCAAAGGGAAAUUUGAGGCAACUGGUCAUUCAAACAGUGCAUUCAUAAAAAUCACACCUGUGAGGGACCUCAGUUGCGAGCAUGUUUAGAAUCCUUUCCAGAAACUGUGUGAUCAUUUAAUGUGAUUUAUACCCAAGAUUUGCCUCUGGACUUUCAUGACGGAGAUAUCAUAGCGCCACGGGUUUUAGAUUAGCUGCCAAUGGCUAGUUGGAGGAGUAUAGGAUUACUUUUAAAGUCCUCAGGGGACUUGAAGAAUUUCCGAGAUUCGCAUGCAACCGUGGCUGUUGACUCACCUGAAAUCACAGCUGUUCAGUCUUCUCAAUGGAUCUCCAAGCCACGAGUUCAAGGUUAGGAGACAAAUAAAGUCAUCGUUUUCACUGAAGUUGGUGUUCAUUUGGCAUCUGAGGACAUAGCUUAAACAAUUGGGAAAUCCAUCGUCAGCAACUGUUUUGGGAAUGGAGACUGAGACCUCACCCAGAUCCCCAGGGGAUGUGACUAUACUGACUCGUUUGCACUCCAGACCCGUUCCCUCUCUCUAGCAUGGCAUGCAUGGCCACCUUUGGGCCACGUGUUCUCUCUUCUUAUUUCCUUAUUCUUUGAUUUUUGAAAUUAACUACCCCAAAUCUCAUGUGAUAAAUUCUUUUACGUUUUGGUUUUCAAAUAGUCUCAAUUAUCCCAUCCUUCUUCCUUAGCAUUUUUCUUUAAGUUUCAAAACCCCAUUUUCAAUAAAACGUUGCUGCCAUUUUUCUUCGGCAUGCAAUUUUGACAACUUCCAUGAUUUUAAAACGUUUUGAAAUAAACAUGAAUUCAAUUUUGUAAUUCCAAUUAAUGGAACUUAUGAAAUUAAUUCAUGCAAAAUAAACGGGCUUUGGUGGGGGGCCCGACAUAUGUGACUUCAUGAUUGACUGACUGAUUGAUUGAUUUGACUGCCAUGCAUAAUUGAUUUAUUCUGAUCCGUGACAUGCAUGAGAUUAUUUCUUAACUGUGCUCUAACCCUAUUUCUUGAUAGCGCAUGGCGGCUCGUCACCUAGGUACGUGUCCAGUCCCAUUCUUGUAAUUCUCUAUGCAAGUACUGAUUCUCAUAUGUGCGAUCAUGAUGAGUAUUCAAUGAUUUCAUCAUCAAUGCCACGUCAGCCUCAUCUUANNNNNNNNNNNNNNNNNNNNNNNNNNNNNNNNNNNNNNNNNNNNNNNNNNNNNNNNNNNNNNNNNNNNNNNNNNNNNNNNNNNNNNNNNNNNNNNNNNNNCAUGCAAAAUAAACGGGCUUUGGUGGGGGGCCCGACAUAUGUGACUUCAUGAUUGACUGACUGAUUGAUUGAUUUGACUGCCAUGCAUAAUUGAUUUAUUCUGAUCCGUGACAUGCAUGAGAUUAUUUCUUAACUGUGCUCUAACCCUAUUUCUUGAUAGCGCAUGGCGGCUCGUCACCUAGGUACGUGUCCACUCCCAUUCUUGUAAUUCUCUAUGCAUGUACUGAUUCUCAUAUGUGCGAUCAUGCUGAGUAUUCAUUGAUUUCCUCAUCAUUGCCACGUCAGCUUCAUCUUAUUAGUAGAGACCCGACUUUAGGGACUUAGAAGGGUGCUACGGUCUUUACCGUACCUUCCCGAUAAGUAACCUGACCCCCGAACCCGAUCCGGUUUUCAUAGACCGCCUUUUUUAAAAUAUGGAGUCACACUUAGGGUUUUUCUUUCUUAUUUUGUUUACCCUUUAAAAAUAAAACAAAAAUAAGUGGCGACUCCAAGUCAUUUUCAAAUAAUCAAUAAAAAUCAAUUUUUCAAAUAAUAAAAAUCGAGCUCGCCAUCGAGUGGGAAACGCAUUGAGCCGAAAAUGCGGGGUCCACACCUGUCAAUUCAUAAAGUUGCCUACUUUUUCUCUCCUGCCUCCUGGACAUUCUAACCUCAACUAGAAAGUUGGAUUUUAUUUGUGGCUUUUUUUAUUUUUUAAAUUUGGAGUCAUUAUUGGAGUAAGAUGUCCAAGUUAGAUGGUCUUGUCAUUAUAUUUAUGUAUGUUACCUUACAGGUACUUGGAAUCUACACCACUUUAUGUCCUAAAAUUUUGUGCCCUAAAAAGUUUUAGCAUAUACCAUAUUUGCAUACCAAUUAAAUAUCAUGUCGUUUUGCACAUACAAGACUUUAUUGAUCAACUCCGACCUCCAACUCAUGUAAACAUGGAUAGAUCCAUCCAACCAAUCGACAAGGUAGAAAAUUUUAUUAUAAGGGUAAAACAGAAAAAUCAUAAAUCAUAAUAAUAUUAAAUAUAAUUUCAGAUUUUAGUAUCAUUCAAUAAAACAAGUAUAUUUAUUAAUAUCAAUUUAUAUAAUUUUUUAUAAUAUAUCAAAUUAAAUAACAUAAACAAAUAAACUUUUGAUAUUAUGGUGAUUAUUCCAUCAUUAAGUUAAGCCAUAGGAUCAAAUCAUCAAACUUUGACAUAUAAAAUGUUGUCAUAAAUCUAGUUAGGCCACAAAUUUCUUUUACAUUUGUUUUUCAAGAUUACUAAUAAAUUUUUAAAAAUAAAAAACAUUUCUUUCUUUUUCCUCUUUUAUCAUGUUAAUAAAGAAAAAAAAUAUUUUCAAUUCAAUUUCUCCUCUUAUUGUAACAAAGGGAAAUAAAAUUUAUUAUUUUAUUAAUAUUUAAUUUCAGAUAUGAGAAUAUUAGUGAGCUUUGAGUAUUAUAUGAAAUUUCAAAUAUAUUGUGAAUCCAAGAAUUAAAAUUGAAUUAUUGUAAUUUUCAAUCAAAAUUCAUUAUAACUUACUAGUUCACUAAUCUUAGAGAUGAAUGGGACUUUCUAUGCAUAUGUAUUUACAUGUAAAAAGAGUUACAUCAUCUUUUAUCAAUGUGGAUGCAGCUGCCUAAUUUUAAAAUUCAAUGGGUUGUCAUUAUCACAUCAAUUAUUCUUCUUUCUCAUGCACCCCACAAAACAAGAAACAAUAUAAUUUGCCUCAAGAAACAACAUAUUUGAAAUUAUAUGGAAUUUAAAAUAUAUUGUGAAUCCAAUAAUUAAAAUUGAAUUAUUAUAAUUUCCAAUCAAAAUUCAUUAUAUUCACUACUUCGCUAAUCUUAGGAACGAAUAAGACAUUUCAUGCAUAUGUACUUACAUAUAAAAAGAGUUGUAUCAUCCUCCACAUGUGUGUGGAUGCGAUUGCCUAAUCUCCACAUAAUUUUUAAAUUCUUGUUAUUGUCACAUCAAUUAUUCUUCCUUUUCAUGCACUUACAAAGCAACAAAUAUCAUAAUUUGCCUUCGUCCACCUACUCACUGAAGUGCAACUUUUUUUUUUUCCUUUUUAUUUUUGUGUGCUUUAUUUCGUACAAAGGGCAAAAAUAUCAUGAUGAGGACGAAAAUAUUGUGUCCAAAAUGGCUUAGAGGGAAAAAAAUCAUUGAAUUAGGCCCAACUUGCGUAUUAAAUAAUACCUUAAGUUUUACAAUCUCUCAAAGUUUCCAUAUAUGAUUGAGUUCUUAUUUAUAUAAAAUGUAAAAAUCUCAUAUAUGAUAAGCAAUCAACUUAUUAUAUAUUAUAUAUGUGAUUAUAAUUGUUUAUAUAUAUAAUUAUUAUAUGAAUAUUUUUAUAUAUUAUAAUAUAUUUUAUAAAUUAAUAAAAAUAAAAUUAUUAUAAAUUAAUUAAUUUUAAAUAAUAAAAAAAUUGUAUCAAAAUAUUUAUCAAUAUUUUUAUGAUAUAUUCGAUAUAUCUAUAAAAUUCAAGUAUUAUAUAUAUAUGUGGUUAUUAAUAUUUUCAUCAUUAGUUUUAGCUUAUCCUAGUGCCUUAAAUAGGAUGCUUGAUUUUAUUUGUUUUUCAAUUCAACAAUGAAAUAAAAAUAAAAAUAUAAAAGAAUUCAAGUUCUUUUUUAAAAUAAAAAAUUUAAAUAUAAUAAAGAUUACUCAAAAUUAUGAUUAUAUUUAGGAAAUGUUUUUAAAAAUAGUUCUAAAAAAAUAAUCUUUGAUAAUUAUUUUUUAAAAUUAUUUUAUGAUGUUUUUAUAAGAAAAGUUUGUUUGAGGAUAUUUGAAAUACUGUAAACUUAUCUUUUAUAUUUUUAAAACAAUAUUUAUAUGUAAUAAUUUAUUUAUUUAAUCAUUCUUUAUAUUUAUAUAAAUACUUAUUAAAAUCAUUACAAAAAUGUAAGUGAAAAUAAGUAAAAACAAGUAAAAUAUGUUAUAAAAAAACAUCUUAUUUUAUAUUUUUUAAAAUUGAAUUUUUUUUUCAUUUUUUGCUAUCAAAUGUAAUAUGUUUUCCUCUUUUUGGUACUUCAAAACAUAAAAUUAUUUUCGAAAACAAAACAUAUCCUCUACAUUUCAAAGUUUUCAAAUUUUUCCUAAAAGGAUAAAUUUGAAAAAGCAUAUACAAAAAUUUUAUUUAAUAUAAUCCUAUUUUUUAUAAUUUCCUUUCCACUUGUCAUUGUGGCUUCCAAUUUUAGUCACAAUUAUGAACUGUAAGAGGCAAUUGAAUUCAUGCACACGUACUAUUUUAUCCAACAUUAACUUUUAGAAAUAUUUGAUUAAAAUAAUGAAAUAAUACCAAUAUUUGGAAAAAUAAUUUUUAUAGUUGGACAUUGCUUCUUCAACUCAGCUGCCACCAUAUUAAAAACCGGUCUUGUCAUGCAUCCGAAGCCGAAACCUGAGCCAGAUACUUGUGUGGGAUCCUCAGGAGCUUCUCGCCGAUCAUGAUAUCUGUGACACAGUGACACCUAUGUAGUAAUACACAGGAAAUUAGUCAUCUGGGUUCUUGAGAAAGGGAGUGUAGCUAAGUCCUUCGGUUUCGCCAUCACGGUAAUCCAACAUCAACACGACAUUUUUCGGGGUUUCGUCGAAGUCGUGAGAAUUGAGACAGCAAGCGAACAGAGACGUAAGCAGAGUAUAUAUAGCAUCGAGUCAUUCCCAUCUCCUCCCCAUUCUUAUCAUUUUCUUAUUCAAUGAGUGUCAUUUGCACAUCCAUUCUUGUUGUUCUUAUACAACCCAUAAAACAUCAUCGUCAACGCAUUAUAUGACCCGCAUUAAAUGUAUAAUAUUUAUAAAUUGAAAAAUAUAUAUUUUUAAACUUUUAUAUUAAUUUUUACCCCCUUUUUUUUAUAGGAUUUUGCUAUUAAUGACUGUCACUUAUCAAUUUCCUUCAUAAACAACACAGCAUAAAAAAUCUUGUUAAUUUUAUAUAAAAUUACACCCCAUACAAUUAUAAGCCUAAUAAAUCCACAAAUCAUUUUUUUUUGUAUAAAUUUAUAUCACAUACAACUUUAAACCUAAUAAAUCAUCCAACGAUUUUAACAAGAAAAUAAAUUUACACAAUAACACAUUUACAUAAACCAAUAAAAAUAAAACUAAAUAAAAGUGAAAAAUAAAAUAUGUACCAAAACAAGCCUAUAAUAAACAUAAUGUUCCAUUUGAGUCUCAUUUUUAUUUGUGAGAUUGAACCUUCCACAUGUCAUGAAUGAACCAAUAAAAAUAAAAUUAAAUAAAAAUGGGAAAUAAAAUGUGUACCAAACAAACCUAUAAUAAGUCUAAUGUCCCAUUUACAACAUUUUUAAGUCUUAUUUUUUUUCAUGAAAUUUAACUUUCCACAUAUCAAGAAUGUGUGCUCAACCAAUCGAUAGGAGUAGUGGUGAAUAGUAUCACGCAAAACAAAAAUGAACCAAAAAGUAAAUAUCCAAAAAUGUAUAAAGCUUUUCAAUAAGCCCCAAAACAAACUUCAAAUCAAUCUAAUAAAUUUCAUUAAUAAAAUAGACCAAAUUAGCAAAUGUAGUACAACAAAUCUAUUUUUCAAAUUAAUAACCAAAAUAUAAGGACAAACCUAAAUAUAACAAAUCAAAAUAAAUCAAAUUAGAGCUAAAUUUAAUAUAGUAUAAUCCAAACUUAAUUUAAUAAGCAAACUCAAGUCCACUACUAAAACCAAACUCAAUUUAAUAUGCAAAGCCUAAAAUGACAUCUAAAUAUAUACCAUAAUUUUCUAAUAUCUAAAUUCAAUAAUUCAAAUGAGUAAAACUCAUAUCAAUUAUUGACUCAUGUAACAAAUUUCACCAACAAGAAAUGAGCUCAAAUUCCAUGUUAAUUAAUAAGUCCAAAAUAUAAAAAAUCAAAAUAAAUUCAAUUAGAACUAAAUUUAAUAUCUCAUAAAUAAUGCAAAAUAAACUAUUACUCAAGUAAUAAAAAAAAAAUUGCAAGCCAAAAAUCCAAACAUAAUAGUAAUGAAUAACAAUAAUAUAUAUAAACCAACCAUAAAUCCGAUCAAAGAUUCUAAUAGCACAAUAUCCAUAGAUAAAUCCAAAUUGAAUUACACAAACAUGCCCACAAUCAGAUACAAUUAAAGUAAAAGGAAAUUUAACCAUUUUUUAAGAACCUAUGAAUGACCUGAGUUGCUAGCCGGCAAUGGCGGCAGUGGCUGCUGGUAGUGAAGGGUGGUGGAUGGAGAGAGAAAAUGGGUAUGAUGAGAUGAGAGAAGAAAAAGGAAAGAAGAAAGAAAAGGGAAAUAAAUGAAAAAAAAAUGAGAAGGAAGGAAGAGAAGGGUGUUUGGAUGGAGAGAUAAUGAGGGAAAUGAAGAAAAGAAAGGGGAGUGACGGAUAGGGAGAGAAGAAAAUAAAGGAAAGGAAAAAAUGGAAGAAGAAAAGAAGAAAAAAAGAGAGAAAAAAAAAAGAGUGGGGGGAAGAGUCUUCUGGCCGUGGGAAUGGGAUGAGGGAGGAAGAAGAAGAGAAAGAAAAGAAAAGGGAGGAAAAUGGGGGAAAGAAGGAAGAAAAAAAAGAGGAAAAAUGAAAAAGAAAAUGGAGGAGAAGAAAGAGACGGGAGGGGAAUGUGCAGGAGGUUAGUUGUGGGAACGAGGGGUACGGACAAGAGAGGGAAAUGAGGGAGUGACUGGGUGGAGUAAGCGGGAAAAAAGGGAAAGGAAGACGAAUAUAAAAUAAAAUAAAUAAUAAUAAUAAUAAUUUAAAAUAUAUAAAUGGAUUGAAACAUUCAUAUGUAAUUGGGUUUGAAUUUUAAGAAUAAAAUUAAAUUUAUAAUUAAUAUAAAAAUAAAUUCAAAACAAAUUUUAAGAUUUAUAGACUUCUUAUUUUAAAAAUAUUAAUGUGUAAAAUUGUUAUAUAUGUAAUAUCGAUAAAUAAGAAACUCAAAAUAUGAUAAAAUAAUAAAUAAAGCAUUAUACUUUAUUUCCAAACAUAUCAUUUUUUUUUUCAAUUUUUCUAUUAAUGCAUAUUGAAUAAUACUAACUGUUACGACAUUUAAAGUAUAUAUUGAUAUAAAAAGUAAUCCCAUUUUUUCUUUUAUACCAACUUCUAUAUAAUGAAACUUCUUGCCAUAAACAGAAUUUGCUUUGUUUUGAUAACGGAUUUUACUUUUUUUAUUUUAAGUCAUAUCUCUAUCUACCCGGAAUCAAGUUUGACCUCAUGGGAUUGAAGUAAAAAAAUUACAAACUUGCAAUAAUAAUACUUCAUAUUUUAGAAAUAAUACUCCCACUAUCAUUCAAUAAAAUAAAUAAUUAUUAUUAACAUUAAUUUAUAUAAAAGAAAUAAAAAUUUUAUAACGUACCAAAUUAAAUAAUAAAAAUACUAAUAAAAAUGUUUUUGAUUUUAAGGUUACUCUAUAACAUGUUUCAAGUAUCAAAUAAAUAUUUGUUUUAUAAAAUAUUAAAUAAUAAUUUUUAAAAGCUAUUUUCAAAUAUUGUUUUAAAAAAUAGUUACUAAAUAAGAUUUAAAUAUCUCAUUUAAAAAUGUGAUUUCCAAUUCCAAAAGUAUCAUAGUGGAAAUUCCUUACUUAACGUCAACGAAUAAGAAAGUAAAAUUAUAAAUAAAAAACAUUAUAUUUUCUAAACAUUUCAAAAUUUCCCAUUUUAUUAUUAAUACAGAUUGCAUUUGUAACAACUACAAUAAUAUCAAAUGAAGUAUAAGUGGUACUUGACAGAAAAAUUUAUUGUUAUGUAACACUAAGGAUCAUAAAGCAUAAAUAAACUUUUAAAACAAAAAUCCUUUUGAAUUAUAAAUAUUAGACAUAUGUGAUAAUAAUAAUUUUAUUUUCUAUUUUUUCAAAAAAAGAAAAGAAAAAUAAGGACAUAUGUGAUAAUUAUAAUUCUAUUUUCCAUUUUUUUUAAAAAGGAAAAUAAGAACUUUUUACUAAUUAAUUAUAAUAAUAAGUAGAUUUUUUUAAUGAUUUCUCAAUAUCCGUCUAUGAGUUGCAAUUACUUUUUAAUAAUUGCAUACGAGACUCUAAUUUUAUUAGUUUAGUAUACAUGAAUACGAGGGACAAACGAGUGUAAUUUCCCAUUUUAAUUUAUUUUUUUAAAAUCCUGAGGAUAAUUUUAUUUUUUUUUAAAUACAUUUUAAAUUUUUUUCUACUAAAAUUUGGGAAAGAGAAAAGUAAAAAUAUGUCAUGAACAUGAUUUAAAAAAAUUAAUUUAUAAUUUUUUAAUUAUAAAGACAAAAAUGCCAUCAAAAGCGACUAAAUUUAUAUUUAGUACACUUCUUUUAUUCAGACUGGAGAGCUUAAACACAGCCUUUCCAGUGGUCCAACAAUGAAGGCAGGUACGUAGUUAAGGGUGGGCGGUAUUCUCCCAACUGCCAUCGGACUGGUACACUACUUAACAAUACACGCUCCUCCUAGGUUGCUAUUAUCAACUAUUUCUGCCCAGCACAAAUCUUUAGCCAGUGGCAGUGAUGUCAUCGACUAGCAAGUUUGUUGUCGGAAACCAAGACGCUCAUUUUUUUAGGUCAAACUCCACAUAAUAAUCCACGUGCUGAUAAUUCCCCAGAAUAAUAGACGGUCCCGGAGUGAAUUCCAAGGUGCUGGUGCCUGCAUCAGUGACGACAGGGAAACAAGCCAAGCUUAUCUCAGGAAUAAACACAAAAUAAUUCUUUCCUGGCACCACCAUAUUUGCGCCACCUCUAAAUUGGUAAAUUAAGUCGGGGAUUUUUAUGGAUUUGUGGCCUGUGAAAUUAUAACAAGGUGUGAAACCGGACAGGGUUUCUAGCUCAAGAGAUCUCCUAUACUUGGACAUCUGCUUUUUCAACUCAUUUGUCACUAUCUUAAAAACCGGUCCUGUCAUGUAUCCGUACGCGAAACCAGAAUCUAUCAUGAGACCACCUCGGCCGUCAGAUACUGGAGCCAGAUACUUGCUUGGAAUCCCGAGGAGCGUGUUCCCGAUCUUGAUAUCUUCGACACCCAAGUAGUAGUAAAUCGGGAAGUCAGGAGGGUUCUUGAGAAAGGGAGUAUAGGAAAGUCCUUUGGUUUCGCCAUCACUGUAGUCCAAAAUCAACUUGCUGCUGUUCCGGGUGUCAUCGUAAUCGUGCGAAUUGAGACAGUAAGCAAACUUCUUCACACCCAUCUGCAUUGGCAACGAGAACAUUGUGCGACCGAACCCCGCAAGUGCGUCAGAAGUAGGUACACGAGCAGCGGAUGUUGUACACCCAACAAGAAAUUUAUGAAUGGUUUUCCCGGGAAAGUUGAGGUUUUCUAAUAGAAAAAACCCAAAUGCUGCUCCUGUGCCAUACUGAAGAGUGUAUUGUGGGCAAGCGUGGGAGCAUUUUUUGGAAUUGCCAUUGCAGCGGGGGCACCCGAGGUAAACAUCUGGGGAGGAAGUGUUUGCACAUUUGGGAUCUCUGCACCCCAAGAUCUUAUCAGAUGACGAAAGUUCGGGAUUGAAGAUAGGGACCUUUUUGGGGUUUGAAAAAGAACAGUUAGUGCAUGUGUAGUGAGUUGUGCACGGGGCCCAUACUACAUGACUUCCUGUGUCCACCAGGAAGGAGAGUUUUUGUGGAGGAGUGCCGAAGCUGAGAGGGAUGGUGUGACCCCCAUAACUAUGAGGAAAAAGAGAGGCUUUUACGAGAGGACUGGUCGUACCAUGUUUCAAGUGAUGGGCUCUGGACAAGGAUGCAGAGGCAAGGUGUUGGAGAAAGACCCUGGGUUCCGUGGAUAGUUUGCUUGUAAAUGUUGAGGUUAGAGGGAUGGUAAUGGUGGCAGGUAUGUUAUCAUUGGAGGAGGAUGCCAAGAAAAGGAUAGAGAAGAGAGUAAAAACAGGGAAAAGCAAAGAAGUAGAAGAAGCCAUGACUGUGAAGCUUCAGAAGCGCACACCAGUGAAAGUGGUAGAGAGAGUCGUUUAUAUAGACAAUGACAUGCGUGGUUUAUAUGUAGUUAUUUUAAAAUCCAUUGUCAAUUUUAUAUGGGAAUUUCAAAGUGCCGAGAAACAAAUGGAGAUUUGUAUUAUAAAAAAAUUAUUAAAAAGAUUUUGUUAGUAAAAUAAAUACAAAAAUAUGAUUUUAUUUAUUUAUUUAUUUUUUGCAUUGAAUAUUAUCCUGUCCUACCCAUCUUGCUUUUAUACUAAACCCGUGGAAUUCACUUUUAAUGCUGAAUAAAUUAUUUUUUAUAUUGAAAGUUUAAAAUUUAAUUUAUUUUUUCAAGAAGACAAGUUUCACGUUAUUUUUUAGAUUAUUUGUUAUAGGACUUUUUUCAAAAAUAAUUAUUAUAAUCAUAUAAUAAAUCAGUUUUGGUAGAGGUGAACACAUGUGGUCCCAUAUUUGCAUUGGUGGUGGCCUCUAUCAUGUUGAUAGAGUGACAAAUAUGAUAUAUUUUUAGAUUAAAUGACUCAAAUAUUAGGAAACAUUUUUAGAUUAAAAAACUAAAACUAGAUUAUGUGGUUGAAAUUAUCAAUGUCAAAUGUAAAGUAUGAUCGCUACUUUUGGAAGCAAAUAAUAAGAACCCUUGGUACAAAUUUAUUUGAUAUUUUAGGUCUACACCAUAAUUAUGAAAAUAUAGAUAUUUUUUUAAAUGCAACAUUAUUUAAUAAAAGUGAGAAAUAAAUGGAGAUUUUAAGCCUUGAAAAAUAUUUAUUUAAAGAAAUUCAAAAAAUAAAAUAAAUUUACAAAUUGUGAUUCAAUUUCCACUAUUCAUUGUGUAAUAUUAAAAUUCAAGUGCAAUAAAACUAUUAAUAGGGGGUAGUGAAACCUUUAAGCACUACUACAAAAAUAAUAUAUGAUGUCACUAUUUAUGGUAUCGCAUUUAAAAUAAUGACACCAUUGAACUUAAAAUUUAUAAAGGUGACACAUCAUAUAAAAAAUCUUCAAUUAGGAUAGUUAGAUGAUGCUAAUUUCAGAUUUACGAUGUCAUUUUUUGGAAGUGACACCAUAUGAAAUAAAAAGUUUUAAAUUUUAUAACUCAAUGGGCCCUUUUUAAAAAUAGUGAGUAGGAACAAUUUAUGAAAAGUCCAUUGUUUCCAUAUAUACAUUAACUAAUAUAAAAGAUCUUAUUGCUUAACCCUAACCAUCGUUUUCUUCUCCUUCUUCUCACACCCAUGGUCGGCACACCCAUAAUUAAUAUUCUUUGCUUCGUAAAAUCUCGGGUAAGUCAAAAUCUCUUAUCUACCAUCUUCAUUUUUUUUAUUAAUGCAAAAAACUUUGUUUGUAUAAUUGUUUUAUAUCUCUUGAUUUAGUAUAUCUAUGAUGUGGGUUUUGUAAAUGGUGUUUUUUAUCGAGUUCCAAGGAAGUAAAAACUAGGUUUAACAUUCUAACAUAUUUUUUGUUUCAUUGCUAAUAAGCCCCAAACAAAUGAAAACAAGAAAAAUGAAUUAUUUUUUAAAAUUUUGUCUAAUUGAGAAUGAGAGAUACACUAGUUUGUAGUAAUUUUUCGCAUGAAAUAGUAUUUUAUUGAAGACUUGACUAUAUUUGAUACUUUUUUCCACCGUGCUAGGAGCUUUUUGGUGAAGUCUAACAAUAGAGAUUGACAUCUACUACAAGAUGAUACUCAAUUAAUCUAAAAGCACUUAAGUUAUUUAGGGUUUUCUUCGGUUAACCUAAGAAAACAUUCCCACUUUCUUUGUAUUGAGUCACCUAAAUAGAAUAGAAUAUUGGGUAUCAGAGUCGUAAAGGGUAUUAUAAAUAUGACUCUUUUUUUUUAGAGUCACCUACAUGGAAUGAAUUAUUGGUAGGUGAACAAAAUAUUGGGGUGAUUGUAAUAGUUGAAUUAGUAAAUGGAAGAUAAGUGUAUGUUGCUUUGUUUAUUCUAUAAAAACAAUAAUUUUAGUAGUUGAAAUUUACAUGCUUUGUUGUUUUAUAAAAACAAUAAUUUUAGUAUUUGAAAUUUUAAAAUGUGAAUGAAUGUCUGAAAAUAUGUUUUGAAAAUAGGAUAGUAAUAAUGGAAAAUAACUCAUUUCCUAAAANNNNNNNNNNNNNNNNNNNNNNNNNNNNNNNNNNNNNNNNNNNNNNNNNNNNNNNNNNNNNNNNNNNNNNNNNNNNNNNNNNNNNNNNNNNNNNNNNNNNUAUAUAUAUAUAUAUAUAGAUAUAAAAUAGACUCUUGAUAUUAAUAAAUAAGUGAAUUUUUCUCUAAAAAAAGAAUAAAAUAAGAAUUUCUCUAUAUAAUAAAAUAAUUUAUAUAUGAGAUAGUUUUCAAUAAGAAAGUUUUGAAAAUAAAUUUGGGAUAAAAUAUUUUUUAGUAAGUUUUGUUUAGAUAAUUCAAGAAUAAAGUGGUUUAUUAACUUUUCUUAAAAAAUAACAUUCUUCUUUCUUUUUUGAAUUGAUCAAUUUUUUUAGAAAUAAAAUUGUUAGAUUCUAUUUUUUGUAAAUGUUUAAGAAAUUCUAAAAAAUUCUUUAAAAAUGAAAUGACCUUUCUACCACAUUCCUUGUAAUAAAUAAUUGUUUUUUUUUAUACAUAUUGUAAAGUAAAAAAAAAAAGUCUUUGUUUAGUUAACCUAAGAAGACAUUCCUACUUUUCUUUGUGUCGAGAGUCACCUAAAUGGAAUAAAAUAUUCAAUAUAAUAGGAGAGUAAAAAGUAUUGUAGAAAUGAUUUUGUUGAGAGAGUUAUCUAAAUGGAAUGAGAUAUUGGUAGGUGAAUAAAAUAUUAUGGUGAUUGUAAUAGUUGACUUAGUGAGUGGAGGAGAAGUGUAUGCUUCUUUGUUUAUUCUAUAAAAACAAUAAUUUUAGUAGUUGAAAAUGUGUAUGAAAUGACUGAAAAUAUUUUUUGAAAAAUAAGAAAAUAAUAAAUGGAUAAUAGCUCAUUUCCUAAAAAUCUUUUGAUAAAUUAAAAUAACUUGUAGUUAAAAUAUAUUCUUAUGAAAGUAUUUAAAAAUGAAUCAAUAUAUUAAUAAUUGUUAUUUUGUUUAAAAAUAAUUUAAUAGUAAAAAAAUAAUACUAAAUUCAAAUAUGACUACUUUGUUAUGAGAUUCAUUAAAGAAAUAAUUGUUGAUUUUACAGUUAUUGCAUCAAAGGUUUUACUCGUUUAAUGAAUAGUACAUAAUUUCAUACUUUCAAUUAUUGUGAUAUUAAUGUUAUUCUCAUUUGAUUUCAGUUUGAUGACAAAUAAAACAUAUUCUCAAGUAGAAUUUGAUGAAAUUAGAGAAAAAUAGAUUACUUUUGUGUUAUAACUAAUCAUGAAUCAUAUUGAUGUAUCGUGAUCAUUCAUGAUAAGUCCCUAAGUUGUUAUAUGAUUGAAUUUUCCAUUGAUAUUGUAUAACAUUACUUAUUCUUUACGAACUAUUUUUAUACCAAAAUGAGAAAAAGGAAAAAGAAAAAGAAAACAUUAGUACUUAGAUUUGUUUAUUGUUUAUAACAUCACAUUUUUAUUUUCAAUAAGAACUCUAAAACUCAUUAAACUAUGAAAUGCAGGUAUACACUCUUGGGAGGACAAUAUGAAGAAUAAAAAGAAAGGAGAAAGAGGCAACAAGAUUUAGGUUUUUAGAUAUGACUCUUAUGUCAUACAUUAUAGGACAUAAAUGUUACUUUAUUUGGAAUUGAGAAUUUUGGGUUUUUGGAUGCAACUCUUGUGUCAUUUUAUGGUUAGCCGGUUUUAUGCAUAUGAAAUGCAAGUAUACAUGAAUGUUGGGAAGCUUAACAUUUCUAAAUCAUGUUUUAAUGUGUAUUCACUUUUCUUUUUUAGUUUUGAUGGGUUUGAUGUGUUUGAUGUACUAUCAUUUUGUGAACAUUUGAUAUACAAAUAUUAUUGGAUGAUGUAAUAUGUUACAAAUUAAUUCAUAAGCAUUAUGAAAAUAUAAGUUAAAUGUAAUAUGAUUAUUAUAUUUAUGGACAAUUUACACAGGUUAGUCUUAUUUAUUAAUAAGCAUUACAAAAAUCUACAAACUAAUCAACAAAAAACAACCAUAUCUUCCAUAAUCAUUUACAAUGAUGUGACACCAUAAAUUAAAGGUGAUACAUUUAACGUGACACCAUAACUCAAAGAUGAUGCAUUUAAUAUGACACCUUAUAUAUCUCAUACAACUCUAUAUCAAAUUAAGCAUCACUAAAAAUAUAUGGUGUCUCUUCUGAAUGUGUCACCAUUUAUCUACUUUGGUGUCGCUUCCAAAUACGUCACCAAUUGAUACCCUCUAUGGUGUCAGUGGAUAAGGUGACGCUAUGUUGUAGUGACACCCUAUGUUUAUAGUGACUUAUUAUAAAUGUCACCAUAUAUCUUUUUCCUUGUAGUGAAGUUCCGAAGGAUUAGUUAUGGUUUUAGUAUGAGAUUUGUUUUAAAACUUUUAAUAAAUUUAAUAACAUCCCACUAUGCAUUUAUACUAUUUGUCAAGUAAAUAAGAACUUAUUUUCCUUUGAUUUCAUUUAGUUUUGAUUUUAUCGAUCUUUAUAAUUAUUUUAUCUUUUAUCAAAUAAUUUGUUCACUUUUAUAUGCUUAAGGCCAUAGUUCAGCUCAAGUGAGAAAAAAAAAUCAUUGCUAAUUCUCAAUUAAUUAAUAAUAAUUUUUUUAAUGUAAAUUACCCAUUACAAAUUUAUCACUUUUUUGAUAUUCAUAUUUUAUUUUAUUUUUUUUAAAUCUUUUAUCUAAAUCUAACUAUUAGAUUUUUAUUUUUUUUCUUAACAUUAAAGGAGAGUUGAUGCACCCGUCAAAGUCUUCAUCUAUAAUAGAAGAAAAACGACAAAUAUUUUGUUGUUGAUUGCAAUUCUCAUUAGCUGGACCUGCGUCUUAUACGUUUUUGUAGGUAACAAUGGUUGUCACAACUAGGAAGAGUCGUGGUUGUCUCGGCUAGGAAGAGUUGUGAUUGUCUUUGUUAGGAAGAGACAAUAAAAUCUUUGGUGGAGGUGAAUACAUGUGGUCCAUGUUUGCAUUGGUGGUGGCCUAUAUCAUAUUGGUGGUGCCAUAUAUAAUAUAUUUUUAGAUUAAAUGACCCAAAUAUUGGGUAACAUUUUUAGAUUAAACAACUAAAACUAGAUUAUGUGAUUGAAAUUAUCAAUAUCAAAUGUAAAAUAUGAUUGCUACUUUUGAAAGCAAAUUAUAAGAACCUUUGAAUAGGUACAAAUUUAUUUGAUAUUUUAGGUCUGUGCCAUAAUUAUGAAAAUAUAGAUAUUUUUUGUUUUAAAAAAAUGCAACAUUAAUUAAAAAAAAUGAAAAAUAAAUGGAAAAUUCAAGUCUUGAAAAAUAUUUGUUUAAAGAAAUUCAAAAAAUAAAAUAAAUUUACAAAUUGUUAUUCAACUUUUGAGUAUUCAUUAUAUAAUAUUAAAAUUCAAGUGCAAUAAAACUAUUAAGAGAGGUAGUGAAACCUUUAAGUUCCAAAAUAUUAGUUAUGUUUUUAGUAUAAGAUUUAUUUUUAAACUUUUAAUAAAUUUAAUAACAUCCCACUGUGAAUUUAUACUAUUUGUCAAGUAAAUAAGUACUUAUUUUACUUUGAUUUCAUUUUGAUUUUAUCAAUCUUUAUAAUUAUUUUAACUUUUAUCAAAUAAUUUGUUCACUCUUAUAUGCUUUAGGCCAUAGUUCACCUCAAGUGAGAAAAAAAAAAAUCAUUCCUAAUUCUCAAUUAAUUAAUUAAUAAUAAUUUUUUAAUGUAAAUUACUCUUUACAAAUUUAUCACUUUUUUUAUAUUUAUAUUUUAUUUUUUAAAACCUUUUGUCUAAAUCUAACUAUUAGAUUUUUUUUUCUUAAUGUUAAAGGGGAGUUGAUGCACCAGUCAGAGUCUUCAUCCAUAAUAGAAGAAAAAAGACAAAUAUUUGGUUGUUGAUUGCAAUUCUCAUUAGCUGGAACCACGUCUUAUAUGUUUUUGUAGGUAACUAUGGUUGCUUCGGCUUGGAAGGGUUGUGACUAUCUUUGUUAGGAAGAGACAAUAAAAUCUUUGGUGGAAGUGAAUACAUGUGGUCCUAUGUUUGCAUUGGUAGUGCCCUAUAUCAUAUUGGUGGUGGCCGAUAUGAUAUAUUUUAGUAUUUUAGAUUAAAUGACCCAAAUAUUGGGUAACAUUUUUAAAUUAAACAACUAAAACUAGAUUAUGUUAUUGAAAUUAUCAAUAUCAAAUGUAAAGUAUGAUUGCUACUUUUGGAAGCAAAUUAUAAGAACCCUUAAAUAUGUACAAAUUUAUUUGAUAUUUUUGGUAUGUGCCAUAAUUAUGAAAAUAUAGAUUUUUUUUUUCAGAAAAAUGCAAAUUAAUUAAUACAAAUGAGAAAUAAAUGGAAAAUUUAAGUCUUGAAAAAUAUUUAUUUAAAGAAAUUAAAAAAUAAAAUAAAUUUACAAAUUGUGAUUCAAUUUUUCAAUAUUCAUUAUAUAAUAUUAAAAUGAAAAAUUCUAGAGUACCAAAUUGAUACUAUACCAAAAAAAAAAUUUUCUAGCCGUUGGAUGUCCAAGAUUAGAUCUUGACCAUUCAUUUUAAAUUUGGGGGAAAAAAAACCAAGAUAACCUGUUAAGGAAGUAAUUAGUUCUCUCAUUCUCUCUUCUUCAUUUUGUCUUUUUUGCCUUCGUUGUGACUUCAUUUUGUCCAUUUUUCUUCCACAUGGACUAUAAAUGCACCUAUAUUUUAAAAUAUUAUAAUUUCAUAUUGUUUCAUAUAUAGAGUGGCCUAAUGAUUUUUUUUUUUUCCAACAUAUUGAUGAGAAAGUGCAUAAAAUAUGUAACUACAGUUAAACAAUUAAUAUUUUACUUUCUAUGCUAGCGCUUAUCAUUUCUCAUCUUUUUCCAGAUUUAACACAUGAUUUUAAUUAAUGUCAAUGCUGCAAGCCCUCUUUUUAAAAGAUAUUUACAAAAAAGCUUGGGCAUUGUAGUUUAGAUGGAGAUUGUCAUUAUAUUUAUAUAUGUUACCUGCGAGGUACCUGGAAUCUACACCAUUUUAUGUCCUAAAAAUUUUGUGCCUAAAAAGCUUUAGCAUAUACCAUAUUUGUAUACCAAUUAAAUGUCAUGUCACAUUGCAUAUACAAGAUUUUAUUGAUCCAACUCCGACCCUCCAACUCAUGUAAACAUGGAUAGAUCCAAACCAGUGGACAAGGUAGAAAAUUUUAUUAUGGGGGUAAAAUAGGAAAAUUAUAAAUUAUAAUAAUAUUAGAUAGAAUUCAUAAUUUGAAAUAUUUUAAACUUAUUUUUUAUAUUUUUAAAAUAAUUUUUAUCUAUAAUAUUUUAAUUUUUGAUCAUUCUCUAUAUUUAUAUAAUUAUUUAUUAAAAAAUAAGUAAAAUAUGCUAUCAUAAAUUCCUUAUUUUAUAUUUUUAAAAAUAGAAAAAUAUUUUCUAUUUUUUUUAUUAUCAAAUAUGUUUUCUUUCUUUUUCUUAUUUCUUAAAAACAUAAAAGUAUUUUUGAAAACAACUUCCAAACAUACCAUAUACAUCUCAAACUUUUCAAAUUUUUAUAAAAAGAUAAAUUUGAAAGAGCAUAUACAAAAUUUUUAUUUAAUAUAACCCUAUUUUUUUAUAAUUUCCUUAACACCUAUCAUUGUGGCUUCCAAUUUUAAUCACAAUUGUGAAUUGUAAGAGGCAAUUGAAAUCAAUGUACUCCAUGUACAUUAUGCACUAUUUUAUCCAACAUUAACUUCUAAAAAUAUUUUAUUAAAAUGAUUAAAUAACACCUAUAUUUGGAAAAAUAAAUUUAAUAUAUAUAUAUUUAAAAGUAAUAGGUUGACUCGCCCUUUAUACAAUAGUGUUUGUUGAUUUUUUAAAUCAACCAUGAUGGUGCUUUCAGUCUUUUAGUUAGUUUCCAAAUCAGAAAACACGAGUUAUGUCAGUGUAAAAAUCAUGGUGACCAGGUGAGGAUGUAUGGAGGUACCACUAGUCGAUGGUACUUAGGGAAUGUCUCAUUUCUUUAUUUAGGGUUGGAAUUGACUACAUCCUCCCAGCGUACUUGGUCAACACAUACCUAUUUUUGGUACCAUCAAUAUUCAUUCUUUAAAGUUUGUGUUUUUAAUAACCUUUUAAUAAUCCAAUAACCUAAAUUUUGCAAUGUAGAUGAUAAGCAUAAAUAUAAAAUACUAAAUUCAUAUUUAAGAAGAGUAGUAUUUUAUUUAGACAUGAGAUUGGAAACACGGGCUCCAACAAUACAAUAUUGUACUUAAUAAAAGCCCAGCUAGGCCUCGGCACUACUCUCCCAACUGCCACCAUAUAAUUGCAUUAAUUUCAUUUUGCAUGCACGCACCUUCGUAAUCCACGGAAUAAUGGAUGGUUCCGGGGUGAAUUCCAAAACGUUGUGGCAUCAGCGAUGAUUGGGAAAGAAGCGACUGGGAGCUGGGAGACAAAAUAAUUCUUUCCCGGCACCACCAUAUGUGCUCGAUCCGCUGCUAAAUUGGUAAGUUAAGUCCAGGAUUUUUAUGGAGUUCUCGCUCGUAAAGUUGUAACAGAGUGUCAAACCGGUGGCAGCUUCGAGUUCAAUAACUCUUUUAUACUUGGACAUCUGCUUCUUCAACUCAGCUGCCACAAUAUUAAAAACCGUUCUUGUCAUGUAUCCUAAGCCUGAGUCUAUUAUGAGCUCACCUCUCCGGUCGGAUCCCGGAGCCAGAUACUUUCGUGGAAUCCUCAGGAGUUUGUCGCCGGUCAUGGUAUCUUUGACACCUAUGUAGUAAUAAAUUAACAGGAAAGUCAUCUGGGUUCUUGAGAAAGGGAGCUUAGCUAAGUCCUUUGGUUUCCCCAUCAGGGUAAUCCAAAAUCAAUUCGCCGUGAGAAUUGAGACAGUAAGCGAACUUCUUCACACCCAUCUACACCGACGAGCAAUGAGAAUAGUAUGCGACUGAAUCCCGCAAGUGCCGUUGUUGUACGAAGUAUGUGGAUGAUAUAAUUCUCCAUAACGAUGAUAAUACAAUUCCUAUGAUGUCCAUCUAUUGAUCAUGCAUGUAAUUCUAUUGUUAUUUAAUAAUAUAAUAAUAUUACAUCAUAUAUUUUUAUAUAUGUAUAGACGUAAGCAAAGUAUAUGCAUUACCGAACCGUUCCUCUUAUCAUUUUGUAAUUAAAUGAGUGUCAACAUUCUCACAUCCAUUAUUUUUGUUCUUGAGCAUCUCAUAAAACAUCAUUGUCGGGUAUUGUAUGACCAGAAUUUAAUGCAUAAUAUUUCAAAAAAAAAAAUUAAUUUUUUUUAUAUUAAUUAUUUGUCAUGAUUUAAAAGAAAAGGCCCAAUUGGAAGCACGGGUACGUAAUCAAUAUUUUUACCCAUUUUUAUAGGAUCUAUGUGACUAAUCAAUUUUCUUCAUAAAAAAAACAAGCAUAAAAAAUCUUGUUAAUUUUAGAUAAAAUUAUGCCCCAUACAACUAUCAACCUAAUAAAUCCAUAAAUCAAUUUAUAUCACAUACAAUUCAUUCCUUUCUAUUAAUGCAGAUUGGAUAAUAAUAACUACUAUGACAUUUGAAAGGGCUAAAAGUUUGAUUCACCUCGAUAAAAAAGGACUUUAAAAUUGAACCUCCUUCGAGCAGUUCAUGGAAAAUUCCACACUUGAAAAAGUUUGCAUAAAAAAAAAAAAAAAAGUUACUGCAAGCAUGAGAAAAGCCAUAAAUCAUAAUCCCAAGGCAUAUCAAGUUGCCAUCCUGCUGACAAUGAAAAAGGAAGAAAUAAAUCCAAUCAAGGAAACUUCCUAGAAAAUCAUAUCAGCUACCACUCUACUCUAACAAGUGAAACAAAGGGGGAAAAAAUCAAUUAAGGAAACUUCGUAGAAAAAGCCAACAAGGAAGUUUUCUUGAGUAAGUAUAAAUAAAAGCUAUAAAUAGUAAAUACUUAUGGGAAGGAACAAUCCAAUUGAGGAAACUUCCUAGAAAAAGCCUAAAAGGCAAACAAGGAAUUUUCCCGAGCACAAAUAAAAGUUAUAAAUACUAGAGGGCAAGGGGGUAAAGGGCAAGUCUCUCUUCACUCGUUCAUCCAAGGGCGGAGUCAACAUAUGCUUUGGGAAAUUAGAUAAGUAUUGUGUAUGGACACAAAAUAUAUUUAUAAAAUAUUUGUUUGUUUUCAUUUUUAAUUUAAGUUUAAUAUUUAUAAAAUUAAAUUUAUUUAAAUCCUAAUAUAUAUAUAUAAUAUUCUUCUAAAUAUUUUUUUUAUAUAUAAUUUUGUAUUGAAUACUUUAUUAAAUAUUUUUUGGUGGUAAGUUAUCUUUUAUUUUAUUUUAAGAUUUUAAAGUUUUUUGGACUUUUAGGUUUAAUCAAAUACUCACUAAUUUAUGAAUAAUUAUAUAAUUAUGAUAAUUAUAUCACUCACAACUCUUUUCUCUUAUACCAAUUUUUUAUAAAAUGGAUAUUCCCUCUACCCAUAAUUUUUUCCAUCUAGAGUUUUUUUUACGUAUAUCUAUAUGUUUUUAUUCAAUUUUUUCUAUUGUUUGUUCUCGUUGUUUCGUAACAUAUAUUAUAGAUAACAUUUAAAUAAAAAAUUUAUUACUAUCAAAUGAUUUAUUUUUUAAUUAUUGAAAAAAAAUCAAAGAAAAAUUAUUAGAGAAAUUAUUGAAUUUUUCUAAAAAGUUCUCUAUAACAAAUAUUUCUAAAAAUUAUUAAAAAUAUUUUAGUCAUAUUUAUUACAAUAUUUUUAAGAGUUUUAAAAAAAAUAUUAUUUGAACUUUUUAACGAACUUUUUGUUAAAAUCUAAAACUCUUUAAUAUGUUUGUGAUUUAAUUUGAUAAAUUAUAAUAUUUUCUUUUUUUAUAUAUAGCUAAUGUCAAUAAUUACUUAUUUUAUUGAAUGGAAUAAUGUUGUAGAGUCAUUUAUAAAAUAUGAAAAUUUAUCUAUAUUUAUUAUAAUCAUCGUAUACUAUUUCAUCCCAUCACCAAAAAUUCUAGCUUUGGUUUGGCACUGCAUCCACGACAAACAAAAGUAAUUUAUCUUCUUCAAUGAGAGUAAAAAGGGGUAACUCCCCCCUAAGGUUCCCCUCUAUCAAAUCCAUCUUUGUAUCUACCAAACAAAUUAAUUCUCCCCUCUCUGCCAAAUCCAUCUUUGUAUCCACCAAAGAAAUAAAUUCUCCUCUCUCUACCAAAUCCAUGUUUGUAUCCACCAAACAGAUGAAUUCUCCCCAUUCUAUUUCAACAUCAAAAUGACGUAUGAGUGGCUUUUGGAUGUAAAAUUAAUAGUUACGUAACAUUAGGAUUUUACGAAGUGGAAAUAGACUUCUAGAACAAAUAAAAUUUUAAUUACAGAUAUUAAACAUAUUCGAUAAUUAUAAUUUUUUUUUUUAAAAAAAAAAGAAAAUAUUUUUUUUGCUAAUUAAUUAUAUAAUAAAUAAAAAACUAAUGAUUUCUCAACUAUCUUUAUUAUUUAUAUGCAAGAGACUAAUUUUAUAGAAAAAAGUGAGCUCUCAAGCACACACUUGAAAAUAAUCCAAUAAUAAAAAUACUUUAAAAAUAAAGUUUUAUAUGCUGGAAAAUUAAAAGUAGUAUUUAAAAUUAUUAAAUGUAAUACAUAUAUUAUUAAAAAAAUAGUACCUAUAUAAUUAAUUAAAAAUACAUAAAAUUAUAAUUAUUUUUUAAGUAAAUCACUUAAUUGAAAAAUAUAUAAACUUCUAAUUAUUUUUAAAUAAAUUUUUAUUAAAUUUAAAUUUUCUAAACUCGGAAUUCUUAUUUUAUGAUUUUUUUUAAAGUAUAAAAACACACUUUUUUCAAUUUUUUAUUAGUUUGGUGACCAAGAAUAGGAUUGGGUGGACUCAUGGGUGUAAUUUUUCAUUUUAAAAUUUGUUUAAAAACUCCGAGAAUAAGAGUUCUUUUAUACCUUUAUUUUUUAAAUUUUUGCUAUGAAAUUGCGAAAGUAAAAAAUAUGCCAUUAAACAUGAUUUUAAAAUUUUUAAUUAUAAAAAUAAAAAUACCAUCGAAAGCUCCAUAAUUUGUAUUUACUAAGCUUCUUUUAUUUAGACCGGAGACUGUAAACACAAAGCCUUUCCGGUGCUCCAACAGUACAGGCAUGUCGGUAAUAAAGAGUAGGCAGUAUUCUCCCAACUGCCAUCUUCCUCUUACAUUACUUAACAAUACUGCAGGAUCCUCCUAGGUUCCCAUUAUUUACUAUUUCUUUGCCGCACCCAACUAGACCCAUUGGCAUGGAUGUCAUAGACUAGCAAGUCUGUCGUCGGAACCCAAGACGCUCAUUUUUGAGGUCAUACUCCACAUAAUAAUCCACAUGCUGAGAAUUCCCCAGAAUAAUAGACGGUCCCGGAGUGAAUUCCAUAGUGUUGUUGCCUGCAUCAGUGACCAUGGGUAAACAAGCCACGAGGCUUGUCUCAAGCCUAGACAUUAAUAAAUAAUUCAUUCCUGCGACCACCAUAUUUGCGCCACCUCUAAAUUGGUAAAUUAAGGGGGGGAUUUUUAUGGAUUUGUGGCCUGUGAAAUUAAAACAAGGCGUGAGACCGGACUGGGUUUCUGCCUCGAGAGAUCUCCUAUACUUGGACAUCUGCUUUUUCAGUUCAUUUGUCACUAUCUUAAAAACCGGUCGUGUCAUGUAUCCGUACGCGAAACCAGAAUCUAUCAUGAGACCACCUCGGCCGUCAGAUCCUGGAGCCAGAUACUUGCUUGGAAUCCUGAGGAGCUUGUUUCCGAUCUUGAUAUCUUUGACACCCAAGUAGUAGUAAAACGGGAAGUCAGGAGGGUUCUUGAGAAAGGGAGUGUAGAAAAGUCCUUUGGUUUUGCCAUCACUGUAGUCCAAAACCAACUUGCCGCUGUUCCGGGUGUCAUCGUAGUAGUGAGAAUUGAGACAGUAAGCAAACUUCUUCACACCCAUCUGCAUCGGCAACGAGAACAUUGUGCGACCGAACCCCGCAAAUCCGUCAGAAGUAGGUAGACGAGCAGCGGAUGUUGUACACCCAACAAGAAAUGUAUGAAUUGUUUUCGCGGGAAAAUUGAGGUUUUCUAAUAGAAAAUAUCCAGAUGAUGCUCCUCCGCCAUACUGAAGACGGUACCGUGGGCAAGCGUGAGAGCAAUUUUUGGAAUUGCCAUUGCAGCGGGGGCACCCAAGGUGAACAUCUGGGGAAGAAGUGUUUACACAUUUGGGAUUUCUGCACCCCAGGAUCUUAGAAGACGACGAAAGUUCGGGAUUGAAAAUUGGGGCUUUUUUGGGGCCGGCAUCUGAAAAAGAACAGUUGGUGCAUGUAUAGUGAGUUGUACAAAGAGUCCAUACUACAUGACUUCCUGUGUCCACCAGGAAGGAGAGUUUUUGUGGAGGAGUGCCGAAGCUGAGAGGGAUGGUGUGACCCCCAUAACUAUGAGGAAAAAGAGAGGUUUUUACGAGAGGGUUGGUCUUACCAUGUUUCAAGUGAUGGACUCUAGACAAGGAUGCAGAGGCUGAAAGUUUUAGAAACUGGGUUUCAGAAACUGGGAAAAACCAAUAUUUCUCAUUGUCUAUUAAGAAAAGAUGAUGAGUAUUUUUACACUGACGUUUUCUUAUAUUUAUAUCUACAACAACCUAACUAACUAACUUCCUUCUUCAAGACGUUCUUAACCGGCUUCUGUUUGUUGCAGCUGACCUCAGUUUGUUGCACCUGAUCUCGGUUUGUUGCAGCUGACCCCGGACAGUUACUUUCUUGUUGAUCAGCUAGGUAUCUUCUAUCAUCCCCCCGCAAGCUCACAGGGGAGGGAACAACAGAUAGCUUCGUUCUGAAACUAAGGAACUGGGAGCUUGAAAUAUGUUUAGUGAAAAUGUCAGCAACCUGUUCAGCGGAAGGAAGAUACUGAAUGACGAGCUGUUUACGAAGAACAUGAUCCCGUAUAAAGUGAAGAUCCAUUUCAAUGUGUUUGGUCCUAGCAUGGAACACGGGAUUUGCAGCCAAGUGAGCUGCACUUUUAUUAUCACACCAAAGUAGAGGUGGAGAGGAGGAAGAGAGACAAAGUUCUUGUAGAACAUAUUGAAUCCAAAUCAUCUCUGAAGUAGCAGACGCAAGAGCACGAUACUCAGAUUCUGCACUGCUGCGAGACACAACCUUUUGUUUGUUGGAAGACCAUGACACUAAAUUCGGACCAAGGAAGAUGCCAUAGCCACCGGUGCUUCUUCUGUCAUCUGGACAAGAUGCCCAGUCGGCAUCAGUAUAGCCAUGAAUAUCCAACGAGGUGGACUGCUGCAUCUGAAUGCCAUAGGAUAAAGUGCCUUUGAGAUAUCGUAAAAUCCGUUUCACAGCAAGCCAAUGAGUAGUAGUGGGUGUAGCCAUGAAUUGACAAGCCUUAUUAACAGCAAAAGAAAUGUCUGGUCUGGUAAGGGUAAGAUACUGAAGCGCACCAACCGUGCUGCGAUAUAAGGUGGCAUCCGAGAAAGGUUCACCAUCCAGAUGAGAUAAUGUUUGUCCUAACAGUCCCGGAGUAGUAGCAGGCUUGGAGUCUAACAUGGCUGUGCGAGAUAAGAGGUCUUGUGUGUACUUGUGCUGACUGAGAUGAAACAUAGUACCAGAACUAACUACUUCUAUGCCCAGAAAAUAAUUGACAUAGCCCAGGUCACGAAGAGCAAAAGAAUAAUUCAGCCGAGUAAUAAAUGAGGAAACUUGAGCUGAACUGCUGCCAGUUACUAGUAUGUCGUCUACAUAAAUGAGUAAAAUAAGGACAUCAUGUGUUGAAUGAUGAAUGAACAUCGAACUGUCAGCUCGAGAAGCUUGAAAUCCCCAGCCAAGAAGUGAAGUGCUGAGUUUGUUAUACCAUGCCCGGGGGGCCUGCUUAAGGCCAUAUAAAGCCUUGUUAAGCUUGCAAACAUGAGAAGGAUAUUGAGAAUUGAUAAAGCCCGGGGGUUGUUGCAUAAACACAUGCUCUUCAAGAUCUCCAUGGAGAAAGGCAUUCUGAACAUCAAGUUGGUGAACUGACCAGUUAAAUGAGAGUGCAACUGCAAGUAUAAUGCGGAUAGUAGAAGCCUUGACAACUGGACUAAAAGUCUCAAAAUAAUCGAGACCCAGAGUUUGAGUAAAUCCUUGUGCAACUAACCGGGCCUUAUAGCGAUCAACUGUUCCAUCGGGUUUAUAUUUGAGUUUGUAGACCCAUUUACAACCAAUUAUAUUGCCAUUGGAGGGUGGUGGAACUAGAUGCCACGUGUUGUUUCUUUGGAGAGCAGAAAACUCUUUUUCCAUGGCAAGAACCCAAUUUGAAUCUUUAACAGCCUGUGUGAAUGUAGUAGGUUCAGAGAUGUGAGAUGAGAAGUAGACCUUCUUCUUGCUGAUGCCAUUCUUUGCACGUGUGACCAUGGGAUGCUGAUUAGUAGGGUGAGGUUCAGAAGUGGAGAUGUCAGCAAAAGGAACUUGUAUCAGGUCUGGUAAAGAAAUAGUGGAGGAAGGCAUAUUAGUUAACGGUGGGCUUGAGGUGGAAGGAGUUGUAUGAGAACGUAGUGAGGACACGGGAGGAGAUGAGCAAGGAAGAAAGGCUGGAGUGGGGAUAGUAACUACAGAUGAGGAUUGAUCCGGAGUAGACUGAAAUGGGAAUACCGUUUCAUGAAACACAACAUGCCUAGUAACAUAGAGACGGCCUGUCAAGGGGUUAAGACACAUAUAGCCUUUGUGAUUGGAACUAUAGCCAAGGAAAACGCAUUGACUGGAGCGAUAGGAGAGUUUAUUUUUGUUGUAUGGUCGAAUAUAAGGGUAGCAUAAGCAACCGAAAAUUUUAAAGAUGUGAUAAUUUGGUGAUUUGCCAAAAAGAAUUUGAAAGGGAGAUUGAUAAUUGAGAACCUUAGUAGGUAGCCGAUUUAUAAGGAAAAUAGUUGUAUGAAAUGCAUAUAGCCAAAACUUGAAAGGUAAGGAUGCAGUGGCUAAUAGAGCAAGACCAGUUUCAAUUAUAUGUCGUAAUUUGCGCUCCGCUCGACCAUUCUGUUCAGGUGUGUAUGGACAAGAAAACUGACUUUUAAUACCAUGCGUAGCAAGAUAUGAAGAGAAGGCUUUAAAUUCACCACCAUUAUCAGACCGUAAACAUUGUAUCCGAGAAUUAAACUGAUUUUCAACUAGACUUUUGAACUUUAUGAAUACAGAUAAUGCUUGAUCUUUGCUGUGCAAUGGAUAAAUCCAAGAGAAACGAGAGAAAUCAUCAACAAACAAAAUGAAGUAGCGUGCACCAGUUGUGGACGGAAUGGAAGCAGGGCCCCAAAGAUCAGCAUGAAGUAAAGCUAAAGGAUGAGAAGCUCUAGAAACAGACACAUUGAAAGGCAAUUUAUGACUUUUUGCAAAUUGACAAGCACAACAGACAUUGUUUUUAUGGCAUUGAUGUGAAAUAUUACAAGAGGUAAGAAUGUGUUUCAAGAUAUUAUCAGCAGGGUGUCCAAGCCGAGAAUGCCAAAGUGUAGUUGUGGUUGUUAAAGAAAGAUUGGAAGACCUGUCAUAACUGGAAGAAACAAAAGCUGCAGGUGAAGGCACAAAUCUGGCAGGGAAUCUAUAUAAGCCAUGUUCAAGACUUCCUUGAAGAAGUAUCUUCUUGGUGACCUGAUCCUUGACAAAAAAGAAUCGAGGAUGAAACUCAAAGAAAGUAUUAUUAUCGGCACAAAACUGUGAGACACUAAUGAGAUUAGUAGCAAUAUCAGGAACGUGAAGUACUUGUCUCAGUUGAAAGGUUUUAGAAGAGGAAGGAAAGAAAGUAGUGCCUGUAUGUAAAAUACGAAGGUGCUUACCAUUCCCAACAAUCACCUUGUCAUUACCCAUGUAUGGCUGUACAUCUGAGAGUGGAUCAAUACUUUGUGAUAGGUGAUGUGUAGCACCAGUGUCAAAAAACCAUGCCUCAUCAGAUAUAGUGGAAGGAGAUGCCAUCAUAGCUUGUACUUGAUUCUUGGCAUUUGGUUUAUUGGUUUGAACGGUGUCCAUAUUAGGGUUGUAGCCUUGGAAGUUAAUAUCAAACCUAUGGUAGCAGCGAACGACGGUGUGCCCAAACUUGCCACAAAGCUGGCACUGUGGUCGAUGCUGAGAUGAUUGUGAGCGCCCACCAUUUGUACCUCUUCUUGUGUUGAACCCAGACUGCCUAUUUUGACCAGAGGAUCUUUUAUUGUUAAAAUGUUGAUAUUGUGGUGUAGCAAGAUUAGCAGAGAUGACGUUAUCUUCUGCAACUGAAUUCUGAAAGCUAAGUCGUUGUUCAUGGGUGAGUAAAAUGCUGUGUACAGAGUGGAGAGACAUCUCAUCUUCACGUGCUGUAAGAGAGGCUACUAUGGAGUUGUAGUCUGCCCCAAGACCUCCAAGAAGUUGGAGGAUUUGAUCUCUAUCAGUCACAGGUUCUCCAAUGGCCGCCAAAUUAUCGGCCAAACUCUUUAGUUUAAGAAUGUAUUCCAUCAUUGUCAAUGAACCUUUCCUUGUGGUUUGGAACUCUAGGCGUAGUUGCAUCACCCUAGCCCUUGAAGAAGCCGAAAAGAUUCGUUCUAAAGCAAACCAGGCUGCAUGAGAGGAUUGAUAGCCAACUAUCUGGCCCAUGAUUUCAGGAGUGAGUGAGGAGUAGAUCCAGCUAAGGAUCAUGCGAUCGAAUCGUCGCCACAUAACAAAAUCUGGGUUUGUUUCUCCAGAACUUGUUUUCUGAGGUGGACAAAUUUUCAGACCUUCAAUAUGAUCUUCAAAACCAUUGGCAAAGACAACGUUCUCCAUUUGUGUUCUCCAAAGAAUGUAAUUGUUUCUAUCAAGUUUGAUCGGCAGUGCAUGAUUCAGCAUCUGCAUUGUUUGAGUAGCACCGGUAGAUGAAGGUAGGGUACCAGCUUGUAACCCUGAUGACUGUGUUGAACUCAUCAUGAAUAGAAUAGAGGUUAUCUACAAAGAACUAAAACUGAUAUGAAGAAGAAGAAGUCUUGUAAAAAAAAAAAAUACCAAAGCUCUGAUACCAUGAAAGUUUUAGAAACUGGGUUUCAGAAACUGGGAAAAACCAAUAUUUCUCAUUGUCUAUUAAGAAAAGAUGAUGAGUAUUUUUACACUGACGUUUUCUUAUAUUUAUAUCUACAAUAACCUAACUAACUAACUUCCUUCUUCAAGACGUUCUUAACCGGCUUCUGUUUGUUGCAGCUGACCUCAGUUUGUUGCACCUGAUCUCGGUUUGUUGCAGCUGACCCCGGACAGUUACUUUCUUGUUGAUCAGCUAGGUAUCUUCUAUCAGAGGCAAGGUGUUGGAGAAAGACCAUGGGUUCCGUGGAUAGUUUGCUUGUAAAUGUUGAGGUUAGAGGGAUGGUAAUGGUGGCAGGUAUGUUAUCUUCGGAGGAGGAUGCAAAGAAAAGGAUAGAGAAAACGGUGAAGACAGAGAAAAGCAAAGAAGUAGAAGAAGCCAUGGCUGUGUAGCUUCAGAAGCGCACACUAGUGGAAGUGGUAGAGAGAGUCGUUUAUAUGGACAAUGACAAGCGGUUAGGCAACAUUUAUAAUCCGUGGGCAAUUCAAAGUGCAGAGAAACAGUAAAUGGUUUGGUUUGGUUUUUUUAUUAUUAUUAUUAUUAUUUUUUUAAUAAAAGAUUGUUGAAGAGAUUGUUUGAAAAAUAAAUGUAAAAUUAUGUCAUGUUUAAUAAUUUUACUUUAUAUUACAUAUUUUACUUGUGUGAUAAUUUUAUGGAAUUCACUUUUUAUAUUAAACUCUUCUUUUUAAAGAAAGAUUUUAUUUUUUAUAUUGAAAGUUUUUCAAUCAACCUUAUCUUUCCAAAAAAUGAGUUUAACGUGAUUUUUAAAAUUACUUUUAAUAAAACAUUUUUACAUUUUUUGUUAAAAUAUUAUUAUAAUUAUUCAAAAAGCUCAACAAAUGAACAAUACAACAAUGAAGUGACACUAUUAAGUAUUGGAAGAAUGCAUGCGUAAUUUUUUCAUUAGAAAGAAACAAGAACAUUAAGCGGUUUACACUUUUUCAAAAAUGCUUACGGAGAAGAAAAUGGAAGCUGACCCAAGCCCACCCCUAAAAUUUCAUGGACAAGAUUAAGGAGGGCGUAUAAGUCUUCAAUUAUCAUUUUGGUUUUUGCUUUCAAUACCUUUUUGGCUUUCUUUAAUUAGUUUCGAAUUGGUCCCUAUUCUAUUUUUCCAAUACUUAGAUGCGAAGGUUUAAUACCCUACUCCACCAUUCCCUUGUGAGCUCAAAUAUCCUUUUAUCGGCAAAACGACAGAAUGUAUUUGAUUGACCAAAGAUUCCAUUAUCUCUUCCUUGUGGAGACAACCAUGCUUGCUUGCAAAAGCAUACAUGGCACAAAUCCAUGUGAAUGUCAUCACCAUCGAAAUGUCUUUUUCCUUGGUUUGUUUCUUUCUUUCUUUUUCCUUUUGUUCCGUUUCUUUUUUUCUUCCUUUUAAACGUCAUGUUUUGUAUUUGUGGGUCAUGUCUUGUGUGUGUAGAGACCACAACUCUAAAUCAUGUAGUUUAUUGCUACUUUUGUGGCUAGGUGUAUUUUCUCUCUGUGAGGAGACUCUCGGUCGCUGAGUCAGCUCCUCUCUAACCUUAAGAGUUAGAUUUAGAAAUAAAGAUAUACCAGGAAAAUAAAAUAAAAUAUAAAUAUUAAGAAGUAAAUUUGUAAUGGAUAAUUUUUAUUUUUUAUUUUAAAUUAUUUUUUUAUGGAAACUGAAGAAAAUUUUGUUCAAUUUUAAUUAAAAGAAAUAAAAAUGAUGAAGUGUUUUAAUAAGAAAUAUUGGAUUGUAUCAACAUCUUCGUAUGGUUGACACCAAGCCUCUUGUGGUGAUACCUUACACUCAUGAGUGCCUAUGGCAUGUGGGAUAACAUGCCAUGAACAAAACAAGGUGACAAGCGAGAGUAAGGAAUAUGUUGAUGCAAAUGGAAUGAUGUCAUGAGUUUAGGUAAAUGCUAGAUAAUGGCUUAAGGGUGGUAGUAUGUGAUGUCAUGAGUUUAGUCAUGCAAGCAUAGACAUGUAAGGCACCACGUGGGUGGCUUAACUCAUAAAAAAAAAUCAAGUAUGGGAUUUUUGGAAGUUGAUAUUUUACUUCAAAGAAAAUAACUUGAGAAAAGGUUUUUAUUUCUGUAAUUUUAAAAAAUUCAUUAUGAAAUAACUUGAGAAACACCUAUGAUAUCUUCUCCUCACACAUUGAAAUAACUUAAAUGCUCUUUAGGAAGGGAUGUCUAGCUCAAAGGUAGUGAUGAAGGCACAAGUUAUACAACAUCAAAAGCACAAUAUGAGUCUCAAGCACCAAAAAGGUGUGAUGGUUUUUCUUGUUAGCUCACACACAUAAGUGUAAUGUCAUAAGUAUGGUGCAACAUGUGGGCAUAAUGACACAUGAUUUGGCUAUUGUACACGUUAUAAGCUAUGCAUGCCUUGGAUUGAAGAAUCUAACAAACUUGACAUGUACAGGACAAUGAUGUAAUGGGCAUGGGAUAAAAAAAGAGCUAGUGCACCAAGAAAAUAUUACAAAAGUAUGUAGGCUAAGAGAGGGCUUGGCACAUAUGGGCUACUUACACACAACAAUAGGUUGGAUGACCCUCAUAGGCACGACCAAAUAUAACACUUGCUUUAAGAAAAGGCCAAGCGAGGGCUAACAAUAAGGCAUAACACAUGGAGACACAAGGUUGGGUUGAAGAAACAAUGAUAUGAAGGGGAUAUAAGUAAGUGUAAAGGCGACAUGACAACUAAGUGGGUCGUUGAGCUUACAGGCAGGUGGCAAGAUCAAAAGUCAACAAUGCAUGUAGCAAAACAAAUGACAAAUGACUAAAACCUUUGAAAGAGUCCAUAGGAGAGAUGGCAAUAGUUAAACCAUUUGACUUCAAAUUUGAAGGAGUCUACUUCCUAUAUAAGACGGAGUUGGUUAACCGAUCUCUAUCACGUGGGUAGGGUUUGGAUGCCUAUAAAUACUUAAUAUUUUCAAAAUUAAACUAAUAUACUUUUGUGUCUUAUGUCUUUAAAACUAUAUUUCCACCUUCCUAAAUGAGGUUUUUGCCUAAAAGUCUCACUUUUCCAUAGAAAGUCCCUUUAAAUUUGCUCUAACCUCAAUCUAACCAUUCUUGGCAUGCAGAGUAAAGACAAAAAAUAAAUGGGCAAGCUAGACAAAGUGUUUUGAAUCAACGAGAUUUUCUCUCUUUUAUAAAUGUAUUAUCUCUUCUACAUGGUCAACCUCUUGCAAAACCUCCCUUCUACUCUAUCUUAAGCUAACAUGAACUUAAAUAGAGCACCCAACGACAUCUCUAAGUAAGUCAAAAGAUUUAAAACACCUAAACCAUUAAUUUCUUAUACUUUAAGUUUGAUUUUCAAGAAUUAAGUUAAGAAAUGGUAUAAGUCAAAUUGCCUAUAAAUAUUGCAAAAAAAAAAAAAAAAGGAAAUAUAUAUGUAAAAUUUUCAAACUUGUAAUAUAAUCAAAAAAUAAAAAGAAAUGAAAACAUAUAGCUAAAUAAACUCUAUAAUUAUAGGUAUAUAAUUAAAGUCAAGCAAAAGAAUGAUUUCUAACAAUUAAAUAAAAGAAACAAUAAAGAAUCUUUCAUAUUAUGGAUGAUUUUGAAAGAUUGAAAGAGAAUGAUGAGAAAUCAAGUAUGGCUUAAUGUGAUUAAGAAUGAGUUGAGAGGUCGACAAUUUAUGAGAUUGAAAGAGAAUGUUCAAAAAGAAAAGUACAAAAAAUAAGUUUGAGAAAUUGAAACUUUAAGAUCUUGGGAAAGAAUGUUGAAGACAAAUGUAAAAAAAAAUUAGAAGCAAUAAUAUUUAGAAAACAUUAGACAAUUAAGAAAUAAUGAGUCAAUUAAAAGUGAGAUUAAAAGAUUCAAAAAGAUCGAGAAAAAAUAUAAUUAAGAAAUAAUCAAUGCAAUGAUAUGAAUUGUCAUUUCUUUUAAGAAAAGGAAAUAACAAAGAAGAUUAAAAUAUUUUGAAGACAUCGCAAAUUCUAGAGAAAAAAAAUGAUUAAAAAAAAAAGCAUAUAUGUCAAUUUGAUAAUUUUGUUUUCUUGGUUACAUGUUGAAUAAUGAGGGUGUAAAGUUGAGGGAAGUUGAGGAAAGUUUACAAUAACUUAUUUUUUAAUAGUACAAGCAAAAAAUUAAUACACGUUCAAAAGGAACAUAAAUAGAUCUUAAGGGUAUACCAAGCCGUCAAUCAAAAAGCAACGUUAAACCUCAUUAUAUACAUGCUAGAGAAACACAUAAACACAUGUAAAAAUAAAAUUAUUACAGAAAAACCAACAUCAAUCAAACAUAAGAAUAGAGAGUUAAACGCAAUCAUAAAAAUAACAUUCUUUGGACCAAGUUACUAAAGGUAAUAGAAAUCAAAUAUUGCUAAGGAAAUACGAAAUAUAGGAUAAAAGAAACCAACAAAAGGAUAUCCAAAAAAUCUCAAAGUAAGAGAACAUAAUGAACUCAAUAGCAAGAAAUACUAGCUAAGGGAAAUUCAUGGAACUAGAUUAUGGAGGGCAAUUAUGAAAAUAUGGGAGGAUUUUAAAAGCCAAGUUCACUUUAUUAUAGAAAAUGGGAGGAGAGUAAAGUUUUGGUUGGAUAAGUGGUGUGGUGAUGCUUCGUCGAAAGACUCUUUUCCUUCUUUAUUUAGCAUAAUUAGUUAAAAGAUGUGUGGAUAACAAAUAUGUGGGAGCAAGAUAGGGAUGGAGCACAUUGAAAUCCUUACCUCUCAAGACAAUUCUAUGAUUGGGAGUUAUAAAUGGUGGAAGUUUUUCUAUGAAAACUUCAAAAAAAAAAAAAAAAAAAGUAAUAAGACAGGCUAUAGAAGAUAGGAUGGUAUGGUCGAACUUGAGGAGUGGUAACUUCUCAAUUAAAGCUUUCAACUCUUUUUUAGCACUAGAAGGUUCACAACAUUUUCCAACUAAAGUUAUUUGGAACUCUUAGAUCCCAACGAUAAUGAGUUUUUUUACAUGAGAAAUAACAUGGGGAAGAAUAUUGACAUUAGACAAAUUGAAAAGUAGAGAGGUAUAAAUGUUAUAUGUGUAAAAGAGAAAAAGAAUUCAUUGAUCACAUGCUUCUUCAUUAUGUUUCAAUAGGAAUUCUAAGGCAGUUGGUUUAUUCUAUGUUUGAGAUACAUUAGGUGAUCCACUCUUCAACUAGAUUGAUGUUGCUAGGUUAAAAUAGGUUCUACAUGCUCAUUUGUCUUUUUUUAGAUCUUUUGGCUAAAAAGAAGUUAGAAAGUUUUUGUAAAUAAGGAAGAAUCAAAACAAUCGCACUCAAAUUCUUUUUUGUGUAAUUUUUUAGAAUGUGUUGAGUCAUUGUAUAACAGGUUUUUCUAACUAUAUGAUGGUUUUUAUUGAUUGGUUAGGAUCAAAGUAGGUGUAGGAAUGUGUUGUCUUUUUUUGGCUGCUCUUUGUGCUUGGUGCCCCUAGUAUACUCCCUAUGGUCUUUGGCAAGCCUUAGUUGCAACCUUUUUUGUAUUUUCUUUUUUUAUAUAUUUAUAUAUUUUAUUUAUCAUGUGUUUAUUUUUUAGCUACCGAUUUUCCUUUUUUGGUUGCUCUUUGUGCUUGGUGUCUUUAGUAUACUCCAUGUCCUUUUAUGUUACAUUAAAGACAUCUAGUAAAGGUUAGAAAUGGAAUUUGUCAAUACCUUGUUUUGAGGGUGAUCAAUGAACCUAUAAUAUGUGUAUAAUACAUAUGUGUAUAUAUGGGAACUCGAAUGUGUGUUAUUCUGAAAAAAGGAAAAUUGAGGCACGAUAUAAGAAUUCCCAUUACCCAAUUUCAAACACGAUAAUUCACAAUACAUCUUACAGUUCCAAUAUUAGUGGGAUUAAGUCUUGGUAAAGUUGCCCAUAGUUGUGCCCAGGUUAUAAGAUCAACCACUUGACCCAAUGCUUCAACAAAAGAGACCCUUGCCUAUUACGAACAAAUUAUUUCAAAAAACAAAAUAUAAUGUAAUUAAAAAAAAUGUAAAAAUCUCAGCGUGAAAAUUGAAUGUUUAGAAUGUUUAACCAUAAAGAAAACCCAAUUUUUCAAAAAAAAAAUUCUUAUGUUAUUUAACUAUAGAAGAAUUUUGGAAAAAUAAAAAAACAAAAUAAAUAAUACAAUAUUUCGUGUAACGUGGAUGAUAUAUCACCUAAGCAUGUAGAUAGAGAAAAGCAUGAAAUCCUAACUCGACUUUUCUGGUUUUGUUCCAAUAAUAUGGAUACAAUAUGAAUCUUAUUUUAAAAAGCAAGCAAACAACAAAAAUUUACGUUUAACAUAACAAUAAUACAAAUUAAGAUAAUAACCAAUAGAAUAGUAUGUCUUUAGUGCAACAUUAGAACAACAGGUUUUCUGAAAGGGAAAGGACAAGGAUAAAAGAACAAUGAAAUUUAUUCAAGUAACCUUUAGAUCCUCGAAGUUUCCUAAACUCUCAACAAAAGUUCAAAAGUAGAAUUCAAAAUUGCCUAUGUAAAUGAGAAAUUAAUUUCAGACAAAACGACUAUGUAAAAAUCAUACAAAUCCAAACAUAAAAUAGGAGAACACAUAAAAGCAUAAAAUUGAUUUCACAUCACAUCAGCAUCAAGAAGUGAAGUCAAUGGAAAAUCCAUAUUAUAUUGCCAAGAAGGCUAACACCUACACUUAAAACACUGGAAAAUGCUUAACAUAAGUUACAAGCUCAAGCUCAUUCCUUACUAAAUCAAAAAGAGAAAGAAUAGUGAAUAUAAAGCAUCUCUACAACAAAGUCACCAUGAGAAAAGAUUUGCAAACUCAAAUUAAUUUUUCUUUUUUUUAAUGAAUGAAACAUUAUUUAAAACAAGCCUUGAACUUAGACCCAAAAAGUGAAAAGUAUAUCAACUAAUCAUCUUCUUUUAGUAGAUAAAAUCCUUUUCAACUGCAACAAAAAUAUAAGAUGGGAUGAUGCCAAAACAACAAAUUCUAGCUAAGAAAAAAAUCAUUUCAUGGCUAACCUAAAAAAAGGCAUAGCUACAGUUUGGAAUGUUGGGUGAAAUUGUUCAGCUUGACAACCAGAAUGAAAUGUAGGAAAUAUUUCAUAUAUAUAUAUAUAUAUAGAUAACACGUAUGAUGCUACCUCCUCAGUAAAACUCAAAACAAAUCAAUCAGCAUGGUCAGAAGAACAUCCCAAAGGUAAAGGUAAGUCUGGACUAUGUCAAAACAUUUAAUAGUAGGGAUUUGGAAUGAAAACAUGGAACUAUUGAACUAAAGUUAAACUCUCUAGCCAUCUAGUCCUGUCUAAUUCAAGAUACCAAAACAGAAUGAUUUACAAUAAAUCAAGUGCCAAAACAUUUUUAUAAGCAUAGUAUGCCUAUAACAAUGACAUAAAAGAAUCAACCACAUCAUUAGCAAAGACUGGCCAAUGUGCAACUUUGACAUUUCCAAGUAUAGGCAGGACUUGAGAAAGUAUACCUUUUAGUUGUGAAGUGCAAGGCUUCAUUAGAUUUUAGAGAACAGGAGACACUUUAGUUUAUGGAGAAAACUUUCAUACGACCCAAACACCGUCAUCUGAAUAUAUAUUAUAAAGAAAAAAAAGUUUAAUGAUUAACCAUCAGCAAAAGCAAAAUCUGAAAGAAUUUGAACCAUGGCAGGUAAAGCUUAAUUUGGAUCUAAUAAAUAAAGAAAUAUUUCUUUCAUCAUCUGCCAAAGAAAUAAAAAUAAAAGAAGCAAAAAUCACUAAAUAGAAAACAGAAAUAUUGAACAGCAUAUCCGUCGAAAAAAAGGGGUAGGGAGAGUAAUUUGAAGUCAAAUAUUACACAACAUCAAAAAGAUCAUAUACAUUGUAACAAGAAUGUACAUAUAAAAAAUGAAAUGUUAAAAGAGCCCAUGGUCUCCUCCAUGUACUUUCUUCUAGGGUUUAUUCUCUAUUACACAAAGAAAGUCCUCCAUGCCAUGCAAUCGCACGGAAAGUCCAAACUGUGGGAUGGCAUGAUGCUCAUCUCAAAGCAAGAACUUAUAGAUUUAGAAGCUGGACUCAAUAGCCCACUUAUUCUCAACUAUAUAAUAUUAUAAUGUCCCUUUUGUAUGAAUCACCCAAGAAAUGAAAGCCUUUGUUUAAAAAAACAAGUUCUAUAAUAUGUAAAGAAUAGUUAUAAUGGAAGGAAACAGAGUUCUUCCAAGGGAAUAACUUAGCUCAGUGAUAUGACAAUACAAGUAGAAAACAAGUUAAAAAGGAUAAAGCAAGACUACUUGUGCUCCAAGUCAUGAUGGGUAAUUGUGACCUCCAGUGAGUCCUUACCAAGGAAAAAAGUAAGUGUCAAUCACCUUCAAAUCCAAUGUCUUCUCACAAAAACUGUUUAGCAUAUGAUCUUAUCAAUCUUAGAUUUAUUCAAUCUCCCAUCCAAAACAACAGAAAUCUUGGUACAAAACAAGAAGAGUAGUAAGCUCUAAAGGAUAUCUCUUCACCCAAUUUGGACUGGAAAGGAAAUCCAUAAAUUUUGUCAGUUGAGUGGCAUCCUGGUCAAUUGUGUGGCUCCAGUCAAUGCUUUGGGUUGGUCUCACCUCCUUACCCUUUUUGUUGGAGUAUUUGACUCCUUUUCUUCCAUACACGGCACUUAUAAAUUUUUCAAGUUUUAGAUCAGAAUCACCUAGACAGAGGAGGGUGUGGAGGAGAGAAUGCCAAGAAAGGAGAAGAACCCGUCACAACUAAAACACCUUGUAUUCUAACUAAUCCAAGAAAUUGCAAGUAAAAAUGAAAUAUGAGGUCACUUCCACAGGUUCUCCAAUAAUGAUUCACUAUUAUCUUAGACGAAAGCAAGUAUUUCAACUAAAGUAACAGUUUUCAGUUUCUAAGUGAUUAAGCAAAUCGACAAAACUUACUAGGUCAAGCAAAUAAGAGCCAAUGCAAACAAGUACCUGCUGCAGCCCUUUGCUAGUCUGCAUUGAGUUCCUACAUCAAAGAUGAAAAUAAAAAAAUAUAAUAAUGAUUAGGAGCGAUCCAUGAAAUAUCAAUUUGCAGUAAAGAAGGAAUCAUGAUGAAGGUGUUGUUCAACUUGAUAAAAACAUAAGGCUGUCAUUGCAUUGAGUGUUAUCAGUGUUUUCCAUAUCAAAUAAAAAUUAAUGGUACAGAUCAGUGCAUUACUUGAAAGGCUUGCCCCAGCUGUUGCAGACUUACAGUAAGUUACACGAUUCCAAGUACUAAUAAAACUUAUGUUGGAUUCUCAAAAAAUUUUGGGAAAUAUGAAGAAAAGAAAAUAAAGAGAAAAAGUGAAAGAAAAUAAAAAAAAAAAACUAAAAAAAAAUUAAAUAAAAUAAAUAAAUUAUUUUUAUAUAUUUUUUAAAAUUUAUUUCACUUAUUUUCUUAUAUAAUUCUAAUUAAUUUUAAUUAUAUUUGAUUUUCUUUUAUAUGAAAUUAUACGAAAAAACCAAAUAUAAGAAAACCAUUUCUUUUAAUAUUUUUUUGUUUCCUAUUUUCCAAAACCAAACAUAACCUAAAUUUUAUAGUCAACCCUAGAUAUUGAGUUUCUAUUUUAAUUUCAAAUAAAACGUACACAAAUAAAGGGGGCUAAAAUUCAAAUAUAUCAGCCAUUUUCAACCUCUCAAAACAAUAGCUACGUAACUUAGGGUUUUGAUGCACCUUGGACGAGAUCAUCUCUGCGGUGGCGAUCUUGGCCAGAUUUGCCAUGAAUGUUGGAUCGACGUCUCUCUUUUAUUUGGAAUACCCCAUCGUAUUCCCAAAUGACUGAAACAUUUUCAAAUCAAAAGCCUAAUUAAUAAAACACAUUCUUUGAGAGAGUGUAAUUUAGAUUCCAAAGAAACACCAAAGGUAAAGAGAACAAGUACCCGACGACCUCCUCGAGAUAAGUAGAGCAACAUUCAAGUACCAAAAUAGGGUUUCUGCAAUCGGGAAAACAUUAGAUCCACGAAUCAUUCGACGUAUAUAGAUAUAAACAAAGAGAAAAUGAGGAAAGAAUGGGACAUGGCAACGAUGCCUCUAUAAGUGCAGCCAUGGAGCUUGUCUGAUCAUAUGAGAUUCAUCUGCGAGCUGCAAAACCAAAACCUGCAGGGCCUCUGAAACAAGCAAAAGCGUAAAACAGUAAUAAACCGUUCAAAUCGGAGAAGUAAUCGUAAUUAGAUGGAAUUUACAGAACUGAAAGAAGCCAUUCCGGCUCCAACCAGAUCGUCUGUUCUUGACCGUUGGAGUCGGUGAGGGCGCACACACAUAUAUAUAUAUAGACAUUGGAGCCUUUUUAACCGCCUCCAGCUGGCUCUCUACAUACUUUUUAUUUUUGAAUCCUAUUUGAAAAUUGAAACUCCUUCCCCGCUGGCUACAUACUUUAAUCAAAUUAGAAACCUUCCUUUUGCAAGAUUUGAAUGAUACGUAUAUCUUAUUUGAAUUUUUUAAAAAUGUCUUCCUUUUUCAUGUUAUAUUUAAUAAAUAUUUCCUUUCACUAGCAACUAAACAAGACAUUUUAUUAUAAUAAAUUUGAAUUUUUUUUUUAUUUUAAUUGCUUCUAUUAACCUUUAUAUAUUUUUCGAACAAGAUAUGUUUUAGUCAACAUUGAGUCUAUCAAAUUCAAACCACUCAAAACAAAUACAACUUGUAUUUAUAAGGAUGGGAUAUAUAUGGCAGACUUUAACUUUAGUGUCAUCAUUUUUUGAUUGGUUUUAAUUAAUUAAAACAAGAAAAGGUUUUUUCUCCAAAAUUGGACUAGUCAGAGUAGCUUGUUGAACAAUAUGUCAUUAGACAUGAUUUUAAAAUUUUUAAUUGUAAAAAUAAAUUACCAUCGAAAGCGCCGCAAUUUAUAUUCACUAAGCUUCUUUUAUUUACACCGGAGCAUGUAAACACAAAGCCUUUCCGGUGCUCCAACAGUACAGUCUUGUAGGUAAUAAAGAGUAUGCAGUAUUCUUCCAACUGCCAUCGUUCUCUUGCAUUAUUAGCCAUACUGCAGGGUCCUCCUAGGUUGCCAUUAUUUUGUACUAUUUCUGGGCGGCACACAACUACACCCAUUGGCAUGGAUGUCAUAGACUAGCAAGUCUGUCGUCGGAAGCCAAAACGAUCAUUUUUGAGGUCAUACUCCACAUAAUAAUCCACAUGCUGAGAAUUCCCCAGAAUAAUAGAUGGAUCCGGAGUGAUUUCCAAAGCGUUGGUGCCAUUAGUGUCCAUGAGGAAACAAGCCAAGCUUUCCUGAGGACUUAUCCCAAAAUAAUUCUUUCCUGGCACCACCAUAUUUGCGCCACCUCUAAAUUGGUAAAUUAAAGGGGGGAUUUUUAUGGAUUUGUGGCCUGUGAAAUUAUAACAAGGUGUGAGACCGGUCUGGGUUUCUGCCUCGAGAGAUCUCCUGUACUUGGACAUCUGCUUUUUCAACUCAUUUGUCACUAUCUUAAAAACUGGUCCUGUCAUGUAUCCGGCGCCACCGUAACCAGAAUCUAUUAUGACACCACUUCUGCCGUCAGAUCCUGGAGCCAGAUACUUGCUUGGAAUCCUCAGGAGCUUGUUGCCGAUCUUGAUAUCUUUGACACCCAAGUGGUAAUAAAACGCCGAGGCAGGAGGGCUCUUGAGAAAGGGAGUGUAGCUAAGUCCUUUGGUUUUGCCAUCGCGGUAGUCCAAAAUCAACUUGCCGCUGUUCCGGGUGUCAUCAUAGUCGUGAGAAUUGAGACAGUAAGCAAACUUCUUCACACCCAUCUGUAUCGGCAACGAGAACAUUGAGCGACCGAACCCCGCAAGUGCGUCAGAAGAUAAUUCACGAGCAGCGGAUGUUGUACACCCAAGAAGAAAAUUACGAAUUGUUUUCCGGGGAAAUUUCAGGUUUUCUAAUAGAAAAUACCCGGAUGAUGCUCCUGUGCCAUACUGAGUACUGUAUGGACAAGCGUACGAGCAAUGUUUGGAAUUACCAUUGCAGCGGGGGCACCCAAGGUGAACAUAUGGGAAAUAAGUGCUUACACAUUUGGGGUUUCUGCAGUCUAAGAUCUUAGAAGACGACGAAAGUUUGGGAUCGAAGAUGGGGACCUUUUUGGGGUCGGCAGCUGAAAAAGAACAGUUGGUGCAUGUAUAGUCAGUUGUACACGGGGCCCAUACUACAUCACUUCCUGUGUCCACCAGGAAGGAGAGUUUUUGUGGAGGAGUGCCGAAGCUGAGAGAGAUGGAGUGACCCCCAUAACUAUGAGGAAAAAGAGAGGUUUUCACCGGAGGGUUGGUCUUACCAUGUUUCAAGUGAUGGGCUCUGGACAAGGAUGCAGAGGCAAGGGGUUUGCUUGUAAAUGUUGAGGUUAGAGGGAUGGUAAUGGUGGCAGGUAUGUUAUCUUUGGAGCAGGAUGCCAAGAAAAGGAUAGAGAAGAGAAUAAA
This 45850-nucleotide long non-coding RNA is filed under the name Vitis vinifera (wine grape). Its description in RNAcentral is "long non-coding RNA (VVIN_LNC002599)". Lineage: Eukaryota; Viridiplantae; Streptophyta; Magnoliopsida; Vitales; Vitaceae. The record is from RNAcentral.